UCCGUAUCCGACAACGGUGACUGCAUGGGAGAGAGCAUUGCCACAAUCUCCGGUAAACACUCCCCCGCUGUAAAACCGAAAGUCUUGUCCAUGGCCUUCGAUUGCAACUGAGACAGGUUGACUUGCGACGACCUUAAGCAACGCUUCUUCGUCGUUUUCAGGCACCAUUUGAUAUUCAUUGAUGGUGGCAACUUUGUUUAUCUGUUUCUCAGUGUCGCAAGUUUCUUGCGUUUCUUGAUAUGGGUAGCUUUCUUCAGUAGUUAUUCCUUGGUUUCGGAUAACGUAUUCGAAAGCAUUUACCAUUUGUCCACCAUCGCAACCUCUGUUUCCUCCAUCUGUGCUGCAAUCCAACAAUUGUUGUUCAGAUAAUGACAUUAAACUACCAGUUUUGAUUUGGACUAUCCCUUCAAUGGCUGCCACUGCUGAAAAUGCCCAACAACAUCCUGCAAAGUAAACCAACAAUAACCCUUUGUUAAGUAUAAAACAAUUACUGAAAAAACUAAAUGAAUGCUUCUUGGCUGAGCAAUAUUUAUAAAAUAUUUUAUAGGAGUUGGGUUAGCAUACUAACAUAUUUUUAAGGGAAAAAUCAAAUAGUGACACGUGGUUGUUAAAAAGUAAAUAAGUCUUAUUGAGCAAAAUUAAUUUUUAUAUAUUGAAUCAAAAAGUAAAUAAGUCUUUUAUGUUAAAAAUUUAAUUCAUUUGUACUAUUAAAAACUGUCGUGACUGACAAAAUAACCAAAUAAUAACACGUGGCUUGCCAUGUGUGUUGAUAUAUAAGGACCAGUUUUUCAUAUUAAAAAUGAAUGAAAUUUUUAAAAGAAUGAUGAGUUUGCUAUUUGAUUAACGUGCGAGGAUUCAUUUGCCCAUAUUUUGAGUAGAGACGACAAAAUGCAAUUCGGCUCCUAGUAUAAGAGUCUCCAUAAACUUUUACCUCUUUUAUUUAAAAAUAUAUAUUUUUAAAUAUUAUAAUUAUAAAUUUAUUGAUUUUUUUAAUUUAUUCGUCAUUAAGCAUACAUCAAUGUUAAAGUAAGUUUGCAUUUUCUUUCCAUAUGAUAUAUGUUUUAAUUUGGAAUCGAUCUAAUAUUUCUAUCAUAUCAUUUAAAAAAUUGAUUUUUUUCAAAAUAUAUCAAAGGAUUGAAAGAUUUGUAUAUUAAUUAAAUAAUUUGACAUUUUUAAUUUACUUAAACCUUGAUUAAUAUUAUUUAUGUUAAUACAACAUCACAUAUGAUGGUUGAAUUAAGCAAAUAUAUUGCAGAAAAUUAUUUCUUUUCUACAAUGAUGGAAAAUUAACUUAGGGUGCUGUGUGUUUAACUUACUUUUUGUCUCAUACUACAGUAUUGCUACAGUAUCUAAUCUCACCGUCAUUGUUAUUUUUAUAGUAUCGGCAGGUAAACGCACCACCCAUCCAAACUCACUCUUAGUUUUAUAGUAAUAUAAGUGAAUUCCCUACAUAUAUAUACAUUAGAUUAUGAGAUAUCUAUGAUGUCGAUGAAAAAUAUUUACGUAAAAAAUAUAUUAACUAAAAUUUUAUAUAAAAAUUAAAUAAAAUUUUAAUUGAAAUAAUAAAAUUAAAGGUUUAAAAACUAAUGCUUUAAGCUUAAAUCUCAUCAUGUGUACUUUUAAUGAUUUUAUAUAUAAAAAAAACUCUCAUAAUAAUACAAGUUAGAUUGUAAAAAGAUGACUUUUUAAUUAGUUUCGACUGCAUUUGUGUUCGAUUGAUUUGUAACAUUAACUUAAUCAAUGGUUGUAUGUAAAUUGAGACUUACCACAUUGACCUUGAAACUUAACAGGAGUGACAGCACCUUGGGCCCUCCAAUCCAAGUUUGUCGGAACAUCUGAGACGUUUUCAUACAUAAAAGAUGUUGAUUCGGACAGUGUGGGAUUGCCUUGCAUCUUGUAUCCUGUAUGAGCUGCAAUGAAUUCAUCUUGUGUCAUGUCUGCAAAUUCAUUGAGACUUAACUUAAAACUCCUAUUUCCGCCAUUGUUGAAGCUCUCAAUAUAUUCCAAGUUUUCCUUGAAUAUAUUAAGACGCUUCUCCUUCUCUAAUUUGCUCUCAUAUUUUCGAUUAUAAUCAACCAUCCAUUGCUCAUGUUUGUCAACAAUGAAGGUUUCAUGGAUUGUUCGGGACAUGGCAAGAGAUUCCAAUGUCCCAAAAAUUAAAAACAAAAAGACGUGGAUUAAACUCAUCAUUGUUUGGCAGAGAUACUACACUAAUUGAAAGGUCUAGCACUCAAUGAAUCUAUAUAUACUACAAAAUUUGAUUAAAAUAACUAUUUUUAAUUAAGUCAUCUUAUGAAAAAUCCAAAUAAAAGGCCAAUAAAAUAUUUGAUUUAAAUAAAUAUUUUUAAUUGAUUAACCCUACUACAAGUUUGUUUGUAUUUGUUUUUCUUCCUUUGAGUUGAAAAAAUUCAACACUCCCAUUAUGUUAAGGGUAAAUUGCAUAAUAAUCACUCAAUUAUUAAUAAAUUAAGUGACGAUAACUAACAAGUGAGUGAUUAAAAUAUUUAAUUUAAAAAAAUUAAGUGACUAAAUAAAAAAAUUUAAUAGGUGGGUGACCAAAAUAGAACCAAGUGCAUAGUUGGAUGACUAUAUUUUUAGUUUACCCAUUAUUCAUAGUUGCUGACAUUCAAAAUUAACAUGGAUUAAAUUGCUCAGAUUUUUUAGAGGGACGAGCUUACUCAAUUUCUCGUAGAAGUUGUGGUUUUUAUAUUUUAUUUUUAAAACUCAAAAAUAAAUUGUAAAAACUUGUUUUUAAAAUGAUUUAAAAAAAAUAAAACCAAUUUGAUUAAAGGGUUGCAAUUGAUAAGGGGAAAUCUCAUUACCUUCGCCUACAAUUAUUUUAAACAUAGGUUAACACGUAAUUUGAGGAGGAACUGAGAGAAAAACUUAUUAAACCAGAGUUAAAUAUUCAUCCCUUCAUUGCUGUUUUCCAGUUGUAUUGCUGCAUGCAAGCACUUCACUUGGAUUUCACUAUCAACCUUCCAACUUCCCCACUAUGUACGAUUAAAAUAUCACACAAGUGAAGAGAUAUUUUAAAGGAGAAAACUAUCCACACUUAAUCUAAAUUAAAAGUGAUCUAAUUUAAUUAAAAUUUAUUGAGCUUUAAUUAUUAAAUAAAAUAUGAAUCAAAUAUUAAUUUCUAACUAAUACUGGGCUGAUUAGGAAUUAAAGUAGAUUUAACUUUUUUAAAUUACUUAUCUGCUAAUUUAAAAGAUUAAAACUAUAAAAUUCAAAGAUCUCAUAAAAUCGAUAGAUUUAAGUACGCUUUUGUAUUUUAUUUUGCUCUUGACUAAACAAAUUUUACUUUAUUAAAUAAAAUAUGAAUCAAAUGUUAAUUUCUAAAUGAUAAUGGGCUGAUUAGGAAUUAAAGUUAACGUAGAUUUAACUUUUUUAAAUUACUUAUGUACUAAUUUAAAAGAUUAAAACCACAAAAUUAAAAGAUCUCAUAAAAUCGAUAGGUUUAAGUACGCUUUUGUAUUUAAUUUUGUUCUUGACAAAACAAAUUUUACUUUAUUAAAUAUUUAAAUAAUGAAAUACCUUAAGAUGAAUGAAAAAGAAAAUGAAUUUCAUGAUAUUUUAGUAAUAAAAUAUAUGAAAUGAUGAUUAUAUUUAAAUUCCAAAUUCUUUAGUGCAAGUGUCUGGGUCUUCAUUCUUGCAAUAAUGUAAGAUUGAGCCAAUUAAACAUUACAUGUAGUCUUUAGUGAAAUCAUCUAGGCCUUCAUUAUCGUCUCUAAAGCCCCAUUACAUAAUUGGCGCGCCGAUGAAGCAAAUGAGAAUGUUGACAAGCAGGAUUUGCUCUAUUUUUUCUCUUAAUUUCUUAUGUUUGAUAGUUGCUGCGUGGAAUAGAAAGAUAGACCAGAUGCAAGUCACGGUCAAGGUCAACUGCCCUUAUUUGCAACAGAGCCAGGGUGAUUUUUUUUAUUAAUUUAUUUUGAAUAUUUUUAUUAAAAUAAUGCGUGAACGGACAAAACAAAAUUUUAUUGUGGAUUCAGUUAUUAUAGUAUUUUGAGUUUAAGGUUAAUUAAGAUACGACCAAUUUCCUCUGGUUUGCAAAAGUUAUUUCAUCAAUGGUAGUGGGACAUUUAGACUCCACCAUCAUGAGUCGUAGAAUAAUACAUAUUCGUCUAUUAAGAAUGAGGAAUUAAUAAAAACAGAAGCAAACCGAGUGAUUGUUUCCUCUAUAGGGAGGACAAGCAAUCUAAGGAUAAGAAAAUGCUUAAAACUUCAAGUUAUCCCAAAGCGAACAAAAAGAAGUAUAAAAACUUAUUAAAAUCUAAGUAUUUUUAUCAACAAGUGUUGGUUACAAUGGUAAGGUAUAUUGCAUUGUAGAGGACAUUGUUGGAAGGGACAGUCAUUAACCUAGAACAUAGACCGUAAAACAGACAUGAAUAAUACCCCAAAAAAAGUCCAAGUGUUUCUUUUGUAAUAACAAAAAGAGCACUGCAAGGAAAAAUGCAAAGAGUGUAAGGAUUACCUAGUCUCUAAGGGUAAAGGUAUGAAACUCUUGAUUAUUGAAACUUGUUUAGCGGAAGACUUAAUAGACCAUUAAGUCAUUGAUUAUAGAGCCACUAGUCAUGUUUGUAUUUCUUUGUAGGGGUUUAAGGAAAUGAAAGAUCUUCAGGAUAAGAAUCUACCAUUGCGAACCGGAGAUGGGAGCUAUGUGGCUACAAAAACAAUUCGAGAAGUACAUCUUUAUUUUGAUAGUUUUAGGAAGAUUGCUUUGGGAGAUGUUUUCUAUGUACCAAACUUUAGAAGAAAUGUAAUUUAUAUUGCAUGUUUAUUUAAAGACGAUUAUACUGUGACUUUCUGUAAUGGUAUUGCAAUUCAUAGAAAUCAAUCUCUUAUCUCUAAUGGAGGGAUGCAAAAUAAUAUUUAUUUUAUCAAAUCAAAUAUGCACUUACAGCUAGAAAUUGAACUCGUAAAUGAGAAACUUGAAACUUCUCUCUAAUGAGGCAUACUCAUUUCUAAUUUCAACGAGCUACCAGAGGGACUGAUUGGAUAUAUUUAAUUAGGGCUUAAAUGAUUUGUAAUUAAGUUUUCGCUUACAGCCUGUUAAUUAUAAACUCAUUUCAUCACAAAUUCAUUCGACUAUAGUAUCGUUACUGAGCUCUACCUAGAGGCAUACCAUUACAAAAGCAACUACUUCAGUGCUCGUCCAAUGACAUUUUCAUAAGUGUGUCACCCUCAUAUGAUAUCCUUGAUCUCUUUGGAAUAAUAUCCGCUCUCCCAAUAUGAUCCUUUUUUUUUCUCUUGGUAACCAUUACAUCUUCCUUCAUGAAAAAUCUAUCACUAUCAAAUAAUGAUCAAGUCAUCCAUCAUAAAGAGGAACGACCUGCUGCCACAUUUACUUUUCAUCAACCAUGUAAUGCAUAUUGAGGAUAUCAUUUACCCAUGUCUCGACCUAUGAAUUUCACUAUUGUGAAUGAUGCGAUAUACUGAACAAAUCUUACACCCAAUGAACCAGCUUUCAGUUCUGUAUCUAUUUGAACUCAAGCUUUUACUUACAUCAAAGUGUACAUAAUAAUUGUAACCUUCUCUUGCACUAAUACUCAUGGGGCCACAUAAGUUAGUUUGAACAAGUUAUAGGGGUUUUCUAUCCCUUGUUCCUUUUGCAUUAAAAGAUCGCUUAGUUAUCUUACCUUCAAAGUAAGAUUCACAUUGUGGAAGAUCAACUUCUUUAAGCGAACUUAAGAUGUCAUCUUUAACAAGCCUAGUGAGUUUUUCUCAGUUAAUAUGACCAAGUAUCAAAUGCCAAAUGUAUGCAUUAGAGUGAGAAGUUUUAAGUCUUUUAUUUGAUAUUUUAGUCUCAAGUAAUGUGUACAUCUUUGGUUUGAUAAAAUAAAGAUUAUUGACAUCCACCCAUUACAAUUAAGAUUGCGAUUCCAAAAUAUUGCAAUUCCAUUACUAAUAGUCACGAUUAACAUAAAUUAAGAUUGCGAUUCUAAAAUAUUGCAAUUCCAUUAUAUAAACAGGCAACAUAAAUUAAGUUUCUUUUGAAAUUUGAUACAUAGAAAAAGUCUCUUAAAAAAAUAAUCAUCCUAAAAUUUUGAAAAUAAAGAUGUACAUCUCCCACUACUUCAUCUGCCACACUUGUCCAGUUCCCAGACCACAACGAUAAGCUCUUAUACCUAAGAUCCUUUCUUUCCUCGAACCCCUAUAGAUAAAUACUAAUUUAAGGGUGUUUUUUUCUUUGCUAAUUGCUAAGUUGUGAAGAACUAGCACUCAGUGGACGUAUAUAUAUACUACAAAAAAAAUUAUUGAAAUGAAGAUUUUUUUAAUUAAGUCAUCUUAUGAAAAUUCAACUAAAAUGCCAAUCAAGUCUAUUUCUUUAAAUAAAUAUUUCUUUAAAUACUAAUUUCUAACUAAUAAUGGGCUGAUUAGGAAUUAAAGUUGACGUAGAUUUAACUUUUUUAAAUUACUUAUGUACUAAUUUAAAAGAUUAAAACCACAAAAUUCAAAGAUCUCAUAAAAUCGAUAGAUUUAAGUUUGCUUUUGUAUUUAAUUUUGUUCUUGACUAAACAAAUUUUACUUUAUUAAAUUUUGUAUCUUAACAAAAGAUUAAUAAAACUGGAAUUUGAAACAAUUAAUAUUGUAUUAAAUAUUUAAAUAAUGAAAUACCUUAGGAUAAAUUAAAAAGAAAAUGAAUUUCAUGAUAUUUUAUUUGUUGGCAUGUUUUACCAAAAUAUUUUGAUGAUUUGCUUGCAUUUUUUUGAGUAUCUUGUGCAACCAAUCUUUUGUUUAUCAUUGGAAAAGAGAUUCAAUCAAGCAAAAUUAUUUUUCAAGGAUCCUUAUAUUGUUUACUUAUGUAACACCCAGUUUUGCCGGGUUGUAAGUUCUGACGAGAAGAUUAAGAGUAAUCGGUGAGAAGUAGCCUAUCUACUCGAUUAUCAUUUUGGCACAUAGAUUAGGCGCAUAGCAGAUAAUAGAAUAUUAAGCAGGGAUUGUCAGAUAAUAGAAUAUUAAGCAAGGAUUGUUCUCAGAAUGUAUUCAGUUGUAAAGAAGAAGAGAUUGAUGAGAGUGUUGAGAACCUUGUAAUAAGGGGGUUAUCGCCUAAAUUGACAAUUUUCCAUUUUAGGAGGGGGCCCUGCCAAGCUCCCUAGAUAUACCACUCAUAGUGGUUGAUUUUCAAAAUUGGCGUGGAUUAAAUUGUUUAAAUAUUUAAGAGGGACCAGCUUACUCAAUGUUAAAAUUGAGAAGGACCAAAAAUUGUUUUUUUUUCCUUGUAGACAGUUGUUUAUAUAUAUAUAUAUAUUUGUAAAAACUUAUUAAACAGGAGCUAAAUAUUCAUCCCGUCAUUGCUGUUUUCCAGUCGUAUUGCAGCAUGCAAACUUAUUAUAUUUAAAUUCCAAAUUCUUUAGUGCAGGUGUCUGGGUCUUCAUUCUUUUCUCUUAUAAGAAGUUCAGAUUCAGACAAUUUUGUUUAGCCUUAGACACGACAAAGUGUUCUAAUAGUACAUCCCGCACGUUACUUAAUUGGCUGAUGUCGAUAAGUAAGAAUGCCCUUAAUUUCUAUCCUUUGAUAGUUGGGUGAUUGGGAUGAUUUAUUUAUUCAUUUUGGAAGUUUUUAUUAGAAUUUGACUUGCUAAUUUGCAUAUUUAUAUUAUAUUUGUGCUUUUUUUUACAUAAUUUUUUAUUAAUUAAUAAUGUGUUAUAGUAAACUUUUUUAUUCAAUUUAAUAUUACCAGCCCAUUCCAUAUUAAUUCAUUCAAAUAAAUUAUAUAGGAACUAUUUUUUAAUAAAAUAAUAAAUAGUAUUCCAAUAUUAUUUUUGUUUUCUAUUAUAUUUGAGUUAAUAUUUAAUAUAAUAUUAGUGGAAAUUUCAAUUCUAUAAUUUAAAUGCUAUCACAUAUUCCAUUUGAAGAAAAAAAAACAUUUAUUUUUUAUUACACUCUAAAAGUGUAUGAGCCGAUUGAGUCUUAACUCGGUUGGUAUUAACAUUGUUGCCUAUGCAGGAGGACAUGGGUUCAAGUACGUUGAAACACAUUUAUCCUCUUAUUGAGGGAGUGGAGAGACACUAUGGGUAGCUCUUUUAUUUUAACUCGAACAAUUUCACUCGAUGCGACUCGACUCAAAUUUUAUUUCACUCGACUCUAUUCGAAAAAAAAAUCAAAUUUACUUAAGAUCUUAAAAUAAGAAUCGUAAACUCGAUUAACUCGAAAUUUUUUAUAUACCAUUAUCAAAUCUACUUAGAACCAAGUAGACGAAAAUUCCAACCCAUACGAUACUUCAUUACUUAAUUGACGCAGCAAAUAUUGACAAAGCUGGGUUUGCGCCAAUUUUUUUUCUUCUUAAUUUCUAUUGUGUGAUUGGUACAUGGGUGGGAACGAACAUAAUUAGUGCCAUCCCACCAUGCAAUUGCAACCCUAAAAAAAAAAUCUAAAGAUGGUGACAAUUCAAAAUGGUAAUAAAAUAUUGAAAUAAAUUCUUUUUAUUUUACCUUGAUAUUAAUAAUAUUUAAUAACAUAAAAUAAUUUAUAUGUAUUAAAAUUUAUUAACCACUUCAUAUUAGAAUAACCCUAUCAUUAUUUCAAAAGGUAGAAAUGUUAUUAUUACAACAAUUAAAAAAUAUCAUAUAUUCCAAUCAUUAAUUCAUCAUAAUUUUAAUAAAAAUUCUCACAUAUAAUAAUGAUAAAUAAAAAUUAUUUAUGCUUAAUUGCAAAUUAUGUGCAAAUAUACACAAUUGUAACAAGUAAUAAAGUAGUAAUUAUACGAGUACCGUCUCCUUAGGGACUGAACAGGUAGUCAAGAUUUGCGAAAAUAAUUUAAAUAACAAUUAUAAAUGGGGUUUAUGCAAUUAAUUAAACUAAAUGCUUCUAUCCUGCAAAAUUUCAACAGAAUAAUGAGUACUUCAACAAAUGAAUUAAUAAUGCUAGAAUAAUUAAUCCACUUCUGUCUUUGUUCAAUUUAGUCUGGAUGCAAUUGUUAUGAAAAUCUUGGCAUAAUUAGCGUGUAACAUCCAUAACCUGUUUUCAUCACCAGAAUAGGGUUACAGAGUAUUACCAUACAAUUCGAAACAUUCCAUAACAAUAGCAUCUAAUUCAUCAAGUUAAUUAACAAUAUUCAUAAAUAAUUCGAAAUCAAGGAAGACACACAUUCAUAGAACUUAAAUCGAGCCUACGAGGCCUAAUAAUCAGAGAUUAAUUCAAAACAAAAUAGGAGAUUUGGUACAAAAAUAAAAAAAUUUCAAAAUAAGGGUCACACGGCCAUGUGUCUAGGCCUAAACCAUGUGGCCAUCACACAUGCUCGUGUGCAUGGGCCGUGUAACUCUCUAACUUGGGUCACACAGCCGUGUCACAGCCCGUGUAAACCUUGCACCUAACACACUAACACACGCCUGUGUGUGACACACGACCGUGUAACAACCUGUGUCCCAGGCCGUGUGUACCCAAAAGUGACUAAAAUCAUGUUGAUUUUUCAUCCAAUUACAUAAGUACCUAAACCAAUUCAUAACACAUGAUCAUAAGACUAUAACCACACCUAAAAGCAACCAAAACAUGUCAAUUUCAACCAUCUAAAACCAAACCAAGGUGUCAUACAUGAAGUUACAAAUAAUGUUUAUACCCAACAUAAUCAUUUCAUAUCACCUACAAAUCAUACAUAUACACCAACUAAUCUAUGUCAAUCUCAUCAUACCAUACUUAAACAUGAUAUUUACUAUUCCGUGGGCAAAACACUCAAGCUCAACUUUGAAUUUAACAAGCAUACCAUAUAAAGUUACCAUUCUACAACAUCAAACAUAUCAAACACCACACAUAGCUAUGAAACAUUACAAACAUAAAUCAUUUUUCCUAUUACAUGCUAUAUAACCAAAUUGUUUACAAAAUCUACCAAAAGAGUCUUUAGGAUAGUGUGAUUUUACGAGUUGAUCUGAUCUCCCCUCCACAAAAUGUAAUCUACAAGAAAAGGAACAAGACACGAGUAAGCUUACAGAAGCUUAGUAACUUCGUUGAUUAAAUGAUAAUCUUAUCGGAUUGAACAUAAAUAAACAAUGUAUGAGAUUUAAGAAAAUAAGUUCCUGUCAAUCACAGCUAACAACAGGUGAGUAUUGCACAGUACAAUAAUUCAAAUCAUAUUCCAUAUUACUAUUAUUUAAACUUUCCAAAAACACUUAUACUUGGAUAAUUCACAUCAUCAAGAUGCCAUAUGAUAAAUGAUCAAAAACCAUGUCAUAGUUCUAACAAUAUCUCAUUUCAUGUAAUCAAAAGGGUAUCACUCAUUCGAGUUAACAUUUAUAACUUUAACCGACUCACGAUGUUGCUUACACAAGCUGCAGAGAAUCCGCAACACAUGUAGGAUCUCAAGCCAUCGCUACGGUCUAUAUCACAAGUACACAGUACCUGCUAAAUAAUCACGAGCCCACAACCUACUAAGACCCGAAAAGAUCUCAAAACACAGUAGAAUAUACUUCAUGUUGCUCACCUCCUUUUCAUUUGCUCUUAAGAAUAGUAUAGUGUCGUCCGCGAAUUGUAAAUGAGUAAAAUUCUGUCUAAGAAUAACAUAUUGAAAGUCUUCAAUUAGCCCUAACUCCACAGCUUUAUCCAUUGCCAAAUGAAGCAUUUUCGUCACAAUUAAAUAAGAAUGGGGAUAGCGGACCUCCUAGACGAAGACCUCUGCAGAAUCUGAAUUCGUUUAUGGUUAACCCGUUGAUAAUUACUGUUGUCAUAACGUUGCCUACAUAAGAGUACGGGGGCCUAGUAAGCAAAGCUAGACACGAAGGGCCUAAAUUAAAGUAGAGUUGCCACUAACCAAUUAGGGCUAGCUUCGUAAGCCACCUAUCGUCUAAAAAUCUAGAAUUAAUACGUUGGAAAAUCCUAAAAGUCUAGAGUCAAUCUCAUCACCAAAUUUUGGGUUCGGGAGUACGGUUACGUAUGGGGAACGCUAUAGCACCCCCACAAUGCCUAUCCGGGGGAUAGUCCUACGGGGUUAUAAAACCUAGAAUUUUUUUUAAUUAAGCAUAUUAAUGUCUUAAUCUAGGCUAAAAUCUUAUGGAAAUUUUAAAUAAAAACUCUAAAGAAAUGCCUUUGGUUUACUUGUAACUCGAUUAAGAUGUGUUUACCAAGCUUAUCUAAUUUGAAACUUUAAUGAGAGAUUUUUAAUUUUAACGGGAACCUUAAAGGAUACCUAAAUAAGUAUAGUAAAAUAUCUUUAAUUCCUAAAGUUAAUUCUAUUUUAGAAUUCUAAAAAAACCUAGAAAUUACCAAUAAAAUAAGAGAAAUAUUAAAAUCAAUCUACAACUUAUUUGAUCUUUUAUUAUUAUUAUUUAAAAGAUUUAAUUAAUAACUUUGAACCUAUCAAGAUAUUACGAAAGUAUCCUAUGCCGGUUUAUGAUCUAUCUUACUUUAAAAUUCUUGAUCUAAUAUUUAAAUUCGUCAAAAUCCUGAAAUAAUAUAUCUUAAAUAAUAUUUAUUAGGUUUCUUAAAAAGUUUCUAAAAUAAAAUACUUAGAAAGACCUACUCAUGAUUUACAAUUCACCUACAAAAAUCUUUAAUUUUAAUCUUGAAUAAAGUCCUAAAGAAUAAUUACAUAUUAAUUUAAAAUUCUAAAGAGGAAUCCUAUACGAUAUUUAAAACUAGUUUAAAACCCUAAAAAAAUCCUACAUAUUAUUUAUAAUUUUUCUAGGGUAAAUGGUGGAUAAGAUCUUAAGGACUAACCUAAAUCCAAAUGUAAAAACCUUAUGGUUUCAUUAAAAUGUAACACCUAUUUAACUAACUUCAUGUCAAUAAUUACAGGAUGGAAAAAUGACCUAAAGUUAUUUUAAAACAAAUAGUAAUAAAAUAGGAAAAUCAAUUAAAUUGGCUAAAGUUAAUGAAAAAUUAAAACUCUUCCAAAAUGAAAAAAAUUAAAAGAAAGAUUAAAUAAAUGAAAUAAAUAAGACCUUAACAUGAUGAUAAUAAUAAUACACCUUAUUCAUAAUAAAAUAAAAGAAUCAAAGUAAUAAAUUUUGGAUUAAAUCGAAUGUUUGAAAAAAUCAAAGGGCUACGGGUGUAAAUAAUCCAGAGAGUGAGGGCGGUGCUGCAAAAAAUAGGGUAUUUUUGUAAAUUUAAAAAGUAAGGGGUGGGAAUAAAUUACCUACUUUUGGCACCUAUAAAUGAAAAAAAAAACUAUUAAUUCUUUCAUUUUAACCUCAUUUUUUUUUCAAAAAAAAAAAUCUUCCUCUUUCUCUUCCUCCUUUUAUGUUGGCCAUGGCUCUACCACCGGAGAGCCGUCAGGCUCUCCGGCCUCCGGUGGUGGAGCUACAGCAUACGAUGGUCGGGUUUUUUUUUUGUAAAAUUAAAGUUUUCUUUUAAAAAAUCACUACUUUUCUUAAAAACCGAAACUUUAUUUCAAAAUAGUUGAAAAAAAAUCAAAAGUUUGUUUUAAAAAAUUUAAACUGCUCCUUUAAAAUGUCUAAAAAAUAGAUUUUUAUUUUAAAAAUCUAAACUUUCUCUUUUUUAAAAAAAAUGCUAUUUUUCUUAAAGUUCAAAGAUUUUAUUUUGAAAUAGUUGAAAAAAAUAAAAAAAAUUGUUUUAAAAAUUUAAACCUUCCUUUUAAAAUGAUUAAAAAACAUAUAUAUUUUUUAAAAAUCUAGACUUUCUUUUUUUUUAAAAUCAAAACUUUUCCCAAGAUCAAACUUUAAAAAGAAAAAAAGAAACCUUUAUUUUAGAAAUGGGAGGGAAAAAAACAAGAUUUUUGGGGCUCCUAGGGGCAGAGGACCGACAGUCAGGUGACAUCCCCUUCAUCGGAACCCAAAACCUGAUCCCUCUUGACAUAUCUAUGGCCAAAAAAAAAAAGAUAGAAGAAAAAAAGAGAAAUAACAUGCUUAUUGUUGUUGUUGUUGUUGUUGUUGUUGUUGUUUUACCUUUUUUUAGAAAAAAAAAUAUGGAAAGCCUUUCUCUUUUUCAUUUCAUUUCAUGUUUAUAUAUUGUUUUUUAAUCUUGCUUAUUUGUAAAAGAUGAUGAUAAUAAUAUUUAAUAAUAAUAGUAGUAGUGAUGAUAAUAAUAAUUUGAUCCCUUGACAAGCCCAAAAAAAAAGAAAAAAGUCUCAAAUUGACCAAAAUUAAGUGGGCUUCGAAUGGCCCAACAGAGAACAAAAAUUUAAAUGGGCCUCUAAUUGGACUUGGACAAGAUGGGUGUCUACAACUGUUGCUCUCAUUGUAGAUCCACACUCGAUUAUCCAUCAUAUCUAUUUUUCGCCAAAUCCCAUCUUGAAUAAAACCAACUCCAAAAAAUCCCACCGAACACAGUCAUAUGCUUUAGAAAAAUCCAAUUUAAAGAUCAGAUUGCCCCCUUCCAUCUUUCUCUUUAAUCGAGUGGAUUAUUUCCUUUGCUACUAAAAUUCCAUCAAAUAUUUGUCUUCCUCUAAUGAAUGCACAUUGAGUAUCGCUCACCACCUCUCCGAUGAUCUCCCUUAUUAAUUGAGACAAUACCUUUGCCACUAUCUUGUACAAAGAGCUCACCAAACAAAUUGGCCUAAAAUAAUAUAUUUCGAUUGGAUUUUUAGUCUUGGUAUGAGUGUGAUAAAUGAUGAAUUAGUAGUCCUCUCAAGCUUUUCGGAUAUAAAAAAGUCUAUCAUCAAUCUGAAAUGAUCCUCCUUUACAAUCUCCCAACUUUUUCUAAAAAACACAGGUUAAAACCGUCCAGUCUAGGUGCUUUUGAUUCAUCACAGCUCCAUACUGCCUCUUUAAUCUCAUCCAUCAAAAAUGGUGCCUCCAGUUUCAAAGCCUUCUCCCCAUUUGGCUUUCUAAAAUUCAGUUCCAAGUCCAUUCUCCACUUCCUCACUGGGCAAUUAAAACAAUUUUUGAAAAAUUGUAUUGUCUCUCUUUCAUCUACUUAGGUUCACUGCACCAAUGACUCCCUAUUUUCAAACUAUAUACCAUAUUCCUUUUAGCUUUGAUCUUCGCUGCUCUAUUGAAAAAAUUUGAAUUAGCAUCCCCUUGUUUUAACCAUGUAAUCCUUGAUUUUUGACGCCAAACUGAUUCUUUAAAUUUAAUUGCUUCCCAAAGUUCAGUAUUCAACUUUUUUAAUUCCUCUAUUUCUAACUUAGUCAGUUCUCUGUGUUCACUAGCAUCAUCGAUCUCCUUAAUCCUAUCUUCACUUUCUAUAAUUCUUUUUUCCGAUGCAUUGUCAGCAUCCAAAGGAGAAGGGAAGAGUAGGAGUGGUGAAUAUUAGAAUAAAAAAUAGAGCAUUAUUGGCUAAAUCGAGCUGGAGAUUUGCGAUCAAGAAAAAUGUGUUAUGGAAAAAAGUUAUCCUAACGAAGUAUGUUUUGAGCUUGCAACAGUGCCAAUUUAGGACGACUUGUACAAAAGAUAUGUCAACUGUUUGGAGAGGUAUUGUAGAGAAUUCUAAAGAUGCCAAUACGUCUAAAAGGGUGGGGAAUGAAGCUUUUUGUAGGCGGGUUGGGAAUGGAAGGACGACAAUGUUUUGGGUGGACAUAUGGUGUGGUAAUUGUCCACUAAAAUUGGAAUUUCAAAGGCUGUUUCGCUUAGCAAGACAAAAAGGAGGUACAGUAGCAGAUUACUUGAGAAAUAAUGGAUUUGGUAGAGUAAAGUGGAGUGAACUCUUUACAAGAUCCUUAUUGGAAAGAGAGGAAGAGAUGCUUCGUAGAUUGGAGGAUAAAGUGAGUAGCACGGAGUUAGUUCCUAGUGGAGGAUCGGCUUUGUUGGGUACACGAUCGUAAUUAGGAAUUUAUGGUAAGGAAGUGUGCUAAAUAAUUGAAUUAUUUUGAUAUAAAAUUUUCAAUUGGUGGGAGGCUGAAUGGGAACCGGUGGAAGGAUUUGAUAAAUUAUACUCAUUGUGUUAUAAUAUGAAAUUGGAUAGAAUCUGAAAAAGCUUAUGGUUGAUAUCAAUUUCGGUAGCCUGUUGGACAGUAUGGUUGGCAAGAAAUGGACUUGUCUUUAAAAGAAAGAUGAUGACCAUGGAAACUUUGAUUUUUCAAUCAAAGAUGAGGGCAUUGCUGUGGAUAAGGUCCGCCUAUGAUGAUUUAUUGAUGUAGGAGAGCUCUUGGUGGAUUUGCCCGAACAGGUGCAAGAUAGAUACAAUUAAAUCCAGAUCAUCCUCAUCGAUAUGACGCCCUCCUCCACAAGGAUGUUUAAAGUUCAAUGUAUGUGGGAUAGAAAAUAAGGAUAGUGCAGGUUGUAGAGGUGCUUUGAGAGACAUGGAGGGUGUUGCAAGAGCUCUAUUUUCAAGUCCGAUUGCAACAGAUGGUACUGAUUUGACAGAGGCAGGAGCAGUGCUUUUAGCAUUAGAAGUAUUUAUAUCUCUGGAAUGGAAGAUAAAUGACUCACUGUUGGUAGAAAUUGGUUCUAAAGUGGUGUUCAACUGGUGUACAAACAAGUCGAUGAGACCAUUGUCACUCCAAUCAACAUUUGCAGAUAUUGAGAGGAAAAUUGAGAAGGUAGGUAGUGUUGUAGUUUCAAUGGCAGAAAAGAAAGGAAAUGAAAUGGCCUCAAACUUGGCAAUAGCAGGUAUAAAUCGUGGAGAAAUGUUUAAAGCUAGGUGGUGAGCAUUAGAUUUGAUGUCAAACGUCAGUUUUCUAUUGUUGAAAAUGUUACAUUAUGGGACGCUGUAAAUUUAAACUUUUGAAUGUUGUUCUUGCUGUAUUUACAACAGGUCAAUUCAAAUGAAGAAAAACAAAUAUUUAGUAGGCUUUUUAUUAGUCAAUUUGGAUUUUGGUAAUAGAAAACUAAAAUAUUCAUUAAAAAAAUGGUUGGUUGGAAUUUAAUUUAGAUAUUUCUUAAGGUAGGCAAUUAAAAAAUUGACUUGAUUGGCAUUUUAUGUAGAUAUUUCAUAAGUUUCUAAAGUCAAAUUUUAAAAAUUCGCUUACUUCGCAUUUUAUGAUGAUAUUUUAUUCAAAUAUUUUUAAUGAAUAUGAAAUGUGAGUUUUGCUAUUAAAUUUUGGAUUGUGUUAAUAUGAAAAUUAAAAAUGAUGAAAUUAAAGAGUUUUAAUAGCGAUUUCUCUCUAUGUUGAGAUUCUAGCUCCAAAUGUUGGCAAAUAUUUGAUUGAAAUAAUAUAUGAGAGAUUUGGACGAGUUGUGGAUAUAUUCAUAGUAAAAAAACUGAAGGUGAUACGAUUUUUGUAAAUGAAUGUGAGUUUCAUACAAAAAUAUUUAAGAAACAUGAGAAAUGAAUUAUUUUUAUUUAAGAAAAUAUACUCGUCAAAUUCAUAUCACCAUUUAGUUUAAAAUUUUAAAAUAUUUUUUUAAUAAAAGAAAAAGAAUUGCCAAAUACUUUUUGGAAGCUUUUUUUUUAAUAAAUAAUCAUUUAUUCAUUAUAUAGAUAAAAGGUUGGCAAGAGUGCAAGACUCAUAGUUCCAAACAAACCACAAACAUCAACACCAAAUGAAAGGAAGAAAAACACGAGUACAACAUAUAUCUUAGACCAUUUGACACGGCUAACUAAUUGUAGUAAUAUGAACUUAUGCUAUUGGAUACGAAGCUUUCAUGGCGAUACCACAUAAGCCACCUUUCCUUUCCACAUUCCUUUGAAUCUUCAUAUACCCAUUUUCACCCCAACUUUGUCCCCAUGAAUUCUUAAUCAGCCAAUAGUUUAAACCUUCUUCACUUGUCCCAUAUCCAACAAUGGUGACUGCAUGGGUGAGAGAAUUUCCACAAUCUCCUUUAAACACUCCACCAUUGUAAAACCGAAAGUCUCGUCCAUGGCCUUCAAGUGCAACUGAGACCGGUUGAUUCGUGACGGCUUUAAGCAAUGCUUCUUCGUCGUUUUUAGGCACCAUUUGAUAGCCACUGAUGGUGGCAACUUCGUUUAUCUGUGUGUCGCAAGUUUCUUGCAUUUCUUUAUAUGGGUAGCUUUCUUCAGAGGUUAUUCCUUGGUUUUGGCUAAUGUAAUCGAAAGCAUUCAUCAUCCAUCCUCCUUCGCAACCUUGGUUUCCUCCAUUUCUGCUGCAAUCCAACAGUUGUUGCUCAGAUAAUGGGAUUAAUUUACCAGUUUUGAUUUUGAUUAACCCUUCAACGGCUGCCACUGCUGAAAAUGCCCAACAACAUCCUGCAAAGUAAACCAACAAAUAACCCUUUUCAAGUAUUAGUGAAUAAAUAAAUGCUUGGGGGAGCAGUAUAUAUAAUUAUUUUAAAUUUUUAAUUAAUUUUAGUGUUACGUAUCAACUGAAAACUAACUCGGUUGUGAAAUUAUUAAAAUACUCUCGUAACACCAAUUUAAUCUAGAGUUUUAUGGGUUUAUAUAUAUUAUGGAGACUUACCACAUUGGCCCUGAUUCUUAAUAUGAGUAACGGCAUUUUGGUCCCUCCAAUCGAAGCUUUUCGGAGCGUUUGAGUAGUUUUCAUACAUAAACGGUGUUGAUUCCAACAAUGUGGGAUUGUUCUGCAUCUUGUAUCCAGUGUGAGUUGCAAUGAAUUCAUCCUGUGUCAUGUCUGCAAAUUCAUUGAGGCCUAACUUAAAACUCCUAUUUCCGCCAUUGUUGAAGCUCUCAAUAUAUUCCAAGUUGUCUUUGAAUAUAUUAAGACGCUUCUCCUUCUCUAAUUUGCUCUCAUAUUUUCGACUGAAAUCAACCAUCCAUUGCUCAUGUUUGUCAACAAUGGUGCUUUCAAGAAUUGUUCGACACAUGGCAAGAGAUACCAAUGUCCCAAGAAUUAAAAACAAAAACACAUGGAUUAAACUCAUCAUUUGUUUUUUUUUUUUUUUUGCAAUACAAGCAGAGAUACUUCACUAAUUUAAGGGCUUUUUUCUUUGCUAAUUGCUAAGUUGUGAAGAACUAGCACUCAAUGAACGUAUAUAUAUACUACAAAAAAAUUAUUGAAAUAAAUAUUUUUUUAAUUAAGUCAUCUUAUGUAAAUUCAACUAAAAUGCCAAUCAAGUCUAUUUUUAAAAAAAAAAAAAGAAGAAGAAGAAAAGUAUUUUUUUUCUUAGCAAAAUCCAAAUUUGACAAAUAAAACUCUGCUCACAAUAUAAUAACAAAGAGAAAAUUGUAAUCUUUCUAAUUGAUGAACCCUACUCACAAUAUUUUCUAUUUUUCUUUCUCUUGAAUUGAAAAUCGAUUUUAGGAAAACACCCAAAGUUCACAUUAUGUUAAUUACUACUACAUAUUUUCACUUUUUGACCUUCUAAUCUCUAUUAUUUUGUUAGAAUUGUAACUUUGUGAAAUUAUAUACAAGUUAAUUAUUUUAAUAAGAUUAUGUUUUGUAAUAUAAUUAGGGGAACAUAAGAUGAUGAGUAAUUCCCUUGUUUGGCUCAUUUGGAUGGAAUAUAAGAUUCAAAUGAUUGAUUUACAGAAUGUAAGAUUAUCUAGAAGCACAUUUUAUUAAAUUAUCUUUGUUAUAAAUUUUUUUAACAAGUAUAGUUUCUUUAAUAGUUUUUAGUCUAAAUUUUCAGAAAUUAAUCAUAAAUUAUUAUAUUUUUUUAUUACAGUCUGUAUACUAAUAAGUGUAUAAUAUUUAAAUAAAUUUAUAAAUCAUAAUUAUAAUAAUUAAUGAAAAAUAAUUACGUCACCAAUCAUAAUUAUAACUAUAAUUAAUAUAGUAAUAAAUAAGUUAUUAGAGUAAAUAUAGUAAUUAUAGUUUUAAAGUAUGAUAACUGUUGUUUCACGAUUUAUUAAAAACUUUAAAUUUAUUAAAAUAAUAAAAACAAAGAGUAAGUAUGCCCAAAAUUCAAGAUUAUAUCUAUAAUCUAAGAUAAUCUAACAAAUGAAUUGUAUUAAGAUUACGAUAUCUUGAUACUAUUUUAAGAUGUAAGAUUAAGGGAUGAUUAGAAUAUUGAGAAUCCAAAUAAAAUAAUCUUCUUCUAGAAUGUAACAUUACAUGCAAUAAUGUAAGAUUGAGCCAAUUAAACAUUACAUGAAGUCUUUAGUGAAAUCAUCUAGGCCUUCAUUAUCGUCUCUUACGCCCCACUACAUAAUUGGCGCGCCGAUGAAGCAAAUGAGAAUGUUGACAAGCAGGAUUUGCGCUAUUUUUUCUCUUAAUUUCUUAUGUUUGAUAGUUGCUGCGUGGAAUAGAAAGAUAGACCAGAUGCAAGUCACGGUCAACUGCCCUUAUUUGCAACAGAGCCAGGGUGAUUUUUUUUAUUAAUUUAUUUUGAAUAUUUUUAUGAAAAUAAUGCGUGAACGGACAAAACAAAAUUUUAUUGUGGAUUCAGUUAUUAUAGUAUUUUGAGUUUAAGGUUAACUAAGAUACGAACAGUUUCCUCUGGUUUGCAAAAGUUAUUUCAUCAAUGGUAGUGGGACAUUUAGACUCCACCAUCAUGAGUCGUAGAAUAAUACAUAUUCGUCUAUUAAGAAUGAGGAAUUAAUAAAACAGAAGCAAACCAAGUGAUUGUUUCCUCUGUAGGGAGGACAAGCAAUCUAAGGAUAAGAAAAAGGUUAAAACUUCAAGUUAUCCCAAAGCGAACAAAAAGAAGUAUAAAAACUUAUUAAAAUCUAAGUAUUUUUAUCAACAAGUGUUGGUUACAAUGGUAAGGUAUAUUGCAUUGCAGACGACAUUGUUGGAAGGGACAGUCAUGAACCUAAAACAUAGACCAUAAAACAUACAUGAAUAAUACCCAAAAAAAAGUCCAAGUGUUUCUUUUGUAAUAACAAAAAGAGCACUGCAAGGAAAAAUGCAAAGAGUGUAAGGAUUACCUAGCCUCUAAGGGUGAAGGUAUGAAACUUGAUUAUUGAAACUUGUUUAGCAAAAGACUUAAUAGACCACUAAGUCAUUGAUUAUAGAGUCACUAGUCAUGUUUGUAUUUCUUUGUAGGGGUUUAAGGAAACGAAAAAUCUUCAGGAUAAGAAUCUACCAUUGCGAACCGGAGAUGGGAGCUAUGUGGCUACAAAAACAAUCCGAGAAGUACAUCUUUAUUUUGAUAGUUUUAAGAAGAUUGCUUUGGGAGAUGUUUUCUAUGUACCAAACUUUAGAAGAAAUGUAAUUUAUAUUGCAUGUUUAUUUAAAGACGAUUAUACUGUGACUUUCUGUAAUGGUAUUGCAAUUCAUAGAAAUCAAUCUCUUAUCUCUAAUGGAGGGAUGCAAAAUAAUAUUUAUUUUAUCAAAUCAAAUAUGCACUUACUGCUAGAAAUUGAACUCGUAAAUAAGAAACUUGAAACUUCUCUCUAAUGAGGCAUACUCAUGGCAUCUAAGACUUUAUCAUAUUAAUGAAGAUAAAAUCAUUAGACUUGUGAAAGAUGAGACUUGAAGUUCACUUAAAAAGGUACAUAUUUCAUAAUGAGAGUCCUUCCUUAAAGGCAAAAUGAUCAAGUGACCUUUUAAUGCAAAAGUUACACAAACCGUUCAACCCUUAGAAUUUGUACACACUGAUGUAUGCGGUCUCAUGAACGUUAGUGCUUGAUAUGGUUACGAUUAUCAUGUAACUUUUAUAGAUGAUUAUUCCAAAUUUGAUUUGGUGUACCUAAUGCACUGAAGAGCGAAAUCUACAAUAAAUUCCAAGAGUUUCAUGCAGAAGUGAAGAAACUAUUAGAUUUUCCCAUUAAGGCACUUCGGUCUAAUCGAGGUGAGGACUACUUGUUAGAAGUCUUCUUAGGAUACCUCAUAGAAAAUGAAAUAUUAUCCUAAUUAAUUAUGUUGGGUACUCCACAAGAGAAUAACAUAGCAGAGAGAAGGAAUAGAACUUCACUAGGCAUGGUUUAUUUAAUGUUAAGUGAUUCACAACUGUCAAUAUUCUUUUGAGGAUAUGCAUUAUAGACAACUUGAUAUAUUUUGAAUGAUGUACCAACUAAGACCAUAUAAAACUCCCUACCAAUUGAUAGAGAAAGAAUCAAGAGUAAAGCAUUUGAGGAUUUGGGGAUUCCUAGCCUAUUGGAAAUAUUAGUCUAGAAAAUAGUAUUUUUAAGCAUAGCAAAAGAUUGAUUUUAUUUUAAAUUGAGCCCUUUUUAUAUUUAUAGUAAUAAAUCCAUAACUGAAAUUAUAUUUGUGUUUUAAACGAGGUGUUUAAAGUCAAUCCCACCUUUCUACCGAAUGAUUUUAUUAGCUAUUCUCGAACCCAAAUUGGUUUGAGUGGGGGCUCUUCAUAGAAAAAAAACAUUUUAUUCACUUUCAAUGGGAAAAUUUUAUAACAGGAAACUAUGCGUUUUCCCUAAAAAAAUAUUCUAUAAUAUAAUAUUUCACUAUUUUCUUAAAAAAUAAAGACGCUCAAUAGAGUGUGUACAAUUGGAAAAAAUUUAGGUUUGAAAACAAUUUUCUUACACAACGAAAAAUUAAAAUCUUGAAAAUUGACUCGGUUUGUGAUUUUUAUAGCAAUAAGCCCUAACCAAAUUCAUACCUGUGUUUUCAGCUUAGCGAAUGUUCGCUAUUCUCGACUUUCAACUAAAUGAUCUUCUAUUCUUGUACCACGAACUUCUUCGAGUGUGGGCUCGAACCAAUUGAAUCGAAACACAGAACUAUAAAAAGUUUUCUCUUUUAUUUAGGGUUAAAACAAAAUUUCUCUCUUCUUUAAUAGAAACUGGUAGAAUUCUUAUUCAGGAAAAAUAUGUUUAGUAGUUGAUAAUAAAUUCUCUUUAUUUUUUGGUAGAGUAACAAUCUCUCAAAGUUGUGUAUAAUACCAUACUAUUGUCAUCUAUUUAUAAGAAGAAAAGGUAGAACCAUUGUUUUGUUGUAGUGGUUUAUUUUAAAUAGAAAAAUAAUUUCUUAAUUAGAGUAGUAGUGGGGUGGACGACACACCCUAGUAUUCCUACUAGGGUUGUCACCCCCUUCAUGUUAUAUGAGGGGUUUUGGGCCUCUCUCACACCGGGUCCAAUUACGAGUACUUCUUAAACCUUUUGAAUCAGUACUCUAUAAUGUGAUCCAACUAGAUUUGGUUUUUCUAUUUACCAAAAUAAACUUUAAUAUUCUAUAUUAAAAAAAUUUCUCAUCCCUAUUUUACCCCCAAUAAAAAUUUAACGAUUUUCCCCAUUGUAAAAUUUUUGGCAAUUUUUCUCCUAAUAAAAGUUCGAGAAUAUAUAUUCAAUAUUUCAUAACUCAACAUGUUCACUGUGACUAAAUGAUUUAUUUUCAUUUUUGGGCUUCAAAAUAACUCAAAAAUAUAAACUUGUUUUUCCAAUCAUUUUUAAGUAAUCCAUAUAGAAUUGCAAAUGGAUCAUUUCCAUUUCCAUUUCUAUUUCCAUUUUUUGAAACCUACAUUCAUUUAAAAAUGAUUCCAUUUUUUCAUUUUGAAAAAAUCAUAAUCAUUCAUGAAUGUUUUUCAUUUCUCUUUUGCUUUUCAUUCUAUUCAUUUCUAUUCAAACUCGCAAUUCAUUUCUAAUUUCAACAAGCUAGCAGAAGGACUGAUUGUAUAUAUGUAAUUAGGGCUGAAAUGAUUUGUAAUUAAGUUUUCGCUUACCGCCUGUUACUUAUAAACACAUUUCGUCACAAAUUCAUUCCACUAUAGUAUCGUUAUUGAGCUCUACCUAAAGGCAUACCAUUACAAAAGCAACUACUUUAGUGCUCGUCCAAUGACAUUUUCAUAAGUGUGUCACCCUCAUAGGAUAUCCUUGAUCUUUUUGGGAUAAUAUCUGCUCUCCCAAUAUGAUCCUUUUUUUUCUCAUGGUAACCAUUACAUCUUCCUUCAUGAAAAAUCAUUCACUAUUGUCGAAACCAUUUUUUUGAUAAAACGGGUUCGACUUAAAUUGUGAAAACGAAAAUGGAGUCGCCACCGAUCCUUUUUGUUAGGUGUGAUCGGAUCACCUCGUAAUAGUUGUUUUAACAAAAUAUUUCGAUUUUAUCAAAACAAUGAUUUUGGUCUGGGAGUCGGUUACGCACGAGGAAGGGUUAGCACCCUUGAUGCGCCCAAAAAUUGGUACCUAAUCGAUUAAUAGAUGUCUAAAUGCCGAAAGUUGAAAUUUUUAAAAAAAUUUAAAAUACGAUCUUUUUUUAUUAAUGUAAGUUUAGAAAAAUCAUUUGAGCAAAUUAAAAAAAGAUCACAGACCCGCUUAUACCAAAGUAACGAAAUAUUGCAUCACGUAAGUUAGGACGCGGUAUUUGAAACUUUAGAGAAUAAGCUUGUCUUGAAUUUUAUUUAUAUUUCAUAUUUUGAAAUUUAGGAAGACAUUUCGCUGUUUAGGUUUGAUGAGAAAAAUUGAAACCCCGUGAGUUAGAGCACGAUUUCUUGGGUUACCUAAACGCGAACCGUUACCUUAUAAUGAAAUUUUUCAUUUUUGAAAUUUUAAGAAGGAUACUUUGUUAUUUAGGUUUAGCGAUAAAAUCGAAACCCCGUAAGUUAGGGUACGAUCUCUCGAAAACGCAAAGUUAUUGCCUUAUCGAGAUUCCUUUCAAUUUUUUUGAAAUAUUUUAAAAGGAUAUUUUGUUAUUAGUUUUAACGAGAAAGACCAAAACCUCGUAAUUUAGGGCACGGUUUUUUUCGUAUUUCUAACAUGCAAAAUAUUUCUUUAUUUUGGGAAAUUUUUCUUUUUGAGUAAAUAUGAAUAAAAUACUUAAGGGGCACAUGUGUAGUUCAUUAUGCUUUCAAAGAAAUCGUUAACACGUAAAAGGAACUAUACAUGGCUAUUAAUAAUAAUACAACAUACAUUGAAACAAAGGCCUAAUAUGCAUCAUAAAAUAAAAAUGUUUUAAUAAUACAACAUACAUUGAAACAAAGCCUAGCCUUGGAACCUCGUCGUCGUCUGCCGCAUCUUCACUGCAACACCACCGAGGACAGUGGCCGGAGAUAUGCGAGAAAAGGGCUUUUUAGCCCGUGCCCGUAAGAAAAGAAGAACAAAAAGGGGUUCUUCAUCGUCCCCUUCUUAAAACGAAGCCCAGGUACGUUUCUUUACUUUUUUUAUAUUUUUGAAUGUAUAUAAAAGAAUAAUAAAAAUAUUAAAAAGAAAAUUGCAUAAAUAUUGAAAACAGAAAAACGAAAGUACAAAAUCACCUUAGUUUUUGCUUUUUUAUUUCUAAUGUGCGUAAAAAUAUACAACGAGAAUAUUUUGGCUUUUAUAGCCAGGUUACAGCCCUUUAAUUUCUAUCUUUUUGUCAUCUUGCUAUUUAAAUUCUCUGUUGUUGCAUGUGGUUCGUUUUGCAGAUGUCAGACACGUGGAUGGCCAAUGAUAUGUGAGUCUUGAGCGAUGUCGGCGUGCGCGAGGGAGGCUGGCAGAACGUGAGGCACUGGGGCAGUGGGCAGAGGCGUACGGUGCUGAGGCAUUAGGCAGAGGCGUGCAACGCCUUAGGGUUUGCUUCUCUGCUGAAUGUUUGUUGUGGGCUGAUGUUGAUUUGGGCUUAAGGUUAUUAAUUGGUCUUGGGUUGUUGUUUGGGCUGGAUUUUGGGCUUGUUUUUUAUUUAUUAUUUUUUGGUUUUAUUUUCUGGUUUUGGCACUGGGCCCGGGUAAAAUUGGGCUAUUAUAACUAUCAAAUAAUGAUCAAGUCAUCCAUCACAUAGAGGAACGACAUGUUGCCACGUUUACUUUUAAUCAACCAUGUAAUGCAUAUGAGAUGAUAUCAUUUAUCCAUGUCUCGACCUAUGACUUUCACUAUUGUGAAUGACGCUAUAUACUGAAGAAGUCAUACACCCAAUGAAUUAGCUUUCAGUUUCGUAUCUAUUUGAACUCGAGUUUUUACUUACAUCAAAGUGUACAUAAUAAUUGUAACCUUCUCUUGCACUAAUACUCAUGGGGCCACAUAAGUUAGUUUGAACAAGUUAUAGGGGUUUUCUGACCCUUGAUCCUUUUCCAUUAAAAGAUCGCUUAGUUAUCUUACCUUCCAAGCAAGAUUCACAUUGUGGAAGAUCAACUUCUUUAAGCGAACUUAAGAUGUCAUCUUUGACAAGUCUAGUGAGUUUUUCUCAGUUAAUAUGACCAAGUAUCAAAUGCCAAAGGUAUGCAUUAGAGUGAGAAGUUUUAAGUCUUUUAUUUGAUAUUUUAGUCUCAAGUAAUGUGAAAGUCUUUGGUUUGAUAAAAUAAAGAUUAUUGACAUCCACCCAUUACAAUUAAGAUUGUGAGUCCAAAAUAUUACAAUUCCAUUGUUAAAAGUCACGGUCAACAUAAAUUAAGAUUGCGAUUUGAAAAUAUUGCAAUUCCAUUACAGAAACAAGCAACAUAAAUUACAUUUCUUUUGAAAUUUGAUACAUAGAAAACGUCUCUUAAAAUAAUCAUCCUAAAAUUUUCAAAAUAAAGAUGUACAUCUCCCAUUACUUCAUCUACCACACUUGUCCCGUUCCUAGACCACAACGAUAAGCUCUUAUAUCUAAGAUCCUUUCUUUCCUCAAACCCCUAUAAAUAAACACAAACAUGAUUAGAGGCUCCCGAAUCAAUGACAUAGUGCUCUAUUGAAUCCUUCACUAAACAAACUUCUAUCAUCAAGAGUUCCAUGCCUUUAACUUUGGUGGUCAAAUAUUCCUUCCACUAUUUACAUUUUGGCUUGAAGUGUCCUUUCUUGUUGCAGAAGAAGCAUCUAGACUUAGAUAAGUCUUUCAGCUUCCUAGUUCUCUUCCUUUCCACAUAUGGUGGCCUCGAGACCAUAGCCAUGCCUUUCUUAGCACGCUUUGUAACAACCCUUACCCGUCUCUGUCACCUGAUUAGGGUUACGAAAUGCUACCAUACAAAAUAGGAUAGAAACAAGCUAUCACAAUUCAAAUUUUAUUUUUAAAAAAUUAUUCAUUAAAAUCUUGAAAAUCUACAAUAAAUUCCAAGAGUUUCGUGCAUAAGUGAAGAAACUAUUAGAUUUUCCCAUUAAGGCACUUCGAUCUAACCAAGGUGAGGAAUACUUAUUAAAAGUCUUCUUAGGAUACCUCAUAGAAAAUGAAAUAUUAUCCUAAUUAAUUAUGUCGGGUACUCCAAAAGACAAUAACAUAGCAGAGAGAAGGAAUAGAACUUCACUAAGCAUGCUUUAUUCAAUGUUAAGUGAUUUAAAUUAGUUCUAAACAAUAGUAUAUUGUCAAAAUUUGAAGCACAAUUAUAACUAUUUCAUAUAAACAAGUCUACCAAUUCUAAUUUAUUAAACAAAAAUUAUCUUAAUUAAAAUGUUAUUUCAAUAAAAUGUUUAAAUUUCACCUAAAAAAAUCUAUUAAUCAUAUUUUAUUAAAUGAAAAUAAUCUUCAAUGAGUGGAAUUAAAUAUAUCAAUUCAAUAAACUAUUAUGUUCCCUGAUUAAAUACUUUACUAUGAAUUUGGAACAUUAUAAACUUAUAAAUUCAUUACUUGAAUUUAAUAACUUAUUAUUAAUUAAUUUAUUUAUUUAAUUUGAUAACUUAUAUUGAUUAAUUGAACUUGUUAGAUUUAUGAACAACAUAAUUAGUCAUGUGAAAGAAUGUACAGUAAAAGAUGCAUAAAAAUAAUAAUGUGUGCACCAACUAUAUGUUUUUUUUUAAUUUUGUUGUUUGGAUCUUUAAUUCUUUUUUUCUGAACAUAAUUUUUAUUUUUUUAUUUGAUGGAAGUACAUAGUAUAAAUUUUAUGCAAGUGUAUAACAAUUGUCUUUCUAUACUAGACAAAUUCUUGAAUAAAGUUAUUAUACAGAAGGUUCGACUGUUUAAUCAAAAUCUAAAGUCUUUAGUGAAAUCAUCUAGGCCUUCAUUAUCGUAUCUUACGCCCCAUUACAUGAUUGGCGGGCCGAUGAAGCAAAUGAGAAUGUUGACAAGCAGGAUUUGCACUAUUUUUUCUCUUAAUUUAUCCAAUUCUCUAUAAUAGUCACCCGUUAUAAUAAUAUUUUAUUAUAAUAGUUAAGUUUCUAGUGGAAUCAGUUUUUUUAUGUUUUAUUUUAAUCUUGUAUAAUAGCAAGAGAUACCAAUGUCCCAAGAAUUAAUUUUUCCUAUAGGACAUGCUUUCAGUUAUGUUAGCUAUAGGACGUGUUUUGGUAUAAAUUAACAAUUCAACUUUGUUGGUUAGAUGGUUAAAUAUUAAUAUUUUUGUUCUUAAAUUUCGUGUUUGAUUCGUCUUCUACUCAAGGACAAAAGUAUUAACAUUUAACCAUCUGAUCAAAAGAGUUGCGUUAUCAAUUUUUAGGAUGCGCUUUCAGCUGAUAUGACUGAAAGCAUAUCCCGUAGGUCACGUUUUUCUUUCUUUCUCCAAAAACAACAUAUUUUUUUUCUUUUUCAGCAUAUAUACAUAAAUUAGCCUUUUAAACCAUACUUGAGUAUCAAAUAAUAUUUCAGUAUUUUUUAUAGGAAAUGUUUAAAUCAAAUAACUAAAAAGAGAAUAAAAAACUCAAAUGUAAAAGGGUUGAUGAGAUUAUUCAUAAAUACGAAAUUUGUUUUUAUAAAUAUACUUACAUAAAUACAUAAUGGAUGUGACAUAGUUGAUGUUUGUUUUUAUUUUUCAUGUGUAGCACUAUCAAAUCUACUUGCACCAAAAUUCUAACCCAUACGAUAAUUCAUUACUUUAGUUGGCGCAGCAAAUAAUGAGAGCGGGAUUUGUGCCCAAAAUUAUCUUAUUUUCCAUUGUGUGAUUGGAUGACAACUUCCAUCCCUCCAUGCCUCAAAUAUCUAAACAUACAUUGAAAUCAAUUUUUCUUAUAUUUCUUAAUUCCUUUACUUCUUAACAAUUCUCCCUCUUUGUCUCAGAUUUAUGUAUAAUUUAUCAAGAGUCUACCUUUUUUUUAAUUCUUAAAUCUAAAAUCUUAAUAUUAAUCACUUCAAAUAUUCAUAUAUAAUGGGCGUCGAAAAUAAGUUUUAUAUACCACUAACUAGUUCACUUUCCAAGUAAGGAUAUAAGUCCCAAUUGUUGACACCAUUUUUUUUAUUCAAAACGGGGUUGACUUGGGGUUUUGAAAAAUGAAACGGGAGUCGCCACCAAUCUUUUUUUAUGAGGUGUGAUUGGAUUACCUCGAAAAGUGGUUGUUUUUAAUAAACGGUUUGAUUUGAUUAAAACAAGUUUGGUCCACGAAAUUCAGAAAACGGGUUCGGGAGUCGGUUACGUACGAGGAAGGAUUAGCACCCUCGUAACACCCAAAAAUUGGUACCUAGUUGAUUAACUAAUGUCUUGAUGUCGAAAAUUGAGAACUUUGACGAAUUUUAAAAAUACGAUCCUUGUAUUAAAACGUUGAAAAUUUCCAGGAAAAGGGGCAUAUUUCACGUUAUUCGAGAAAGAGGAUCAUAUCCAGUAAGUUAGGACACAAUGUCUCGAAUUCUCGAUACGUAAAUGAAUGCCAAAAUUUUACUUAUUUAAAAGACAUUUUAUUAUCUCGAGUUUAGGAAAGGGAUCAUGCCCAGUAAGUUAGGGUACGAUUCUCUCGAAUCUAAACACGAAAUAAUAUUUAUUCAAAACAAAUUUUGUUAUAUCGAGUAAAAUAAAACAUGAAAAUCGUAGUAAAAACAUGUGAAAGCAAAUUACAUUGUUAUGAUGCAUAGCUGAACCAUAAUGGGUACGAAAAUAUGAAAAUGAUACAAACAAUAGCACAAUAUAAAAUAAAUAAAAGGUUAAAUCUACAACGUUCAAAAUAACGAUCAUAUAUAAACGAAUUAAAUUAAAGCAUGCAUCCGAAAUAAUAAUGAAGAUGAAGUAAAUAAAUACUGAAUACAAUUCAAAAUGUAAAGAGGUAUGUAUACGUAUGUAAAUAUAAAUUAAAAUAUGUAUGCAUAUGUGAAUUAUAAAAUAUGUAGAAAAUACCUAUGUAGAAUAUAUUUUAAAAUAUAAAGAAUAUAAAAAAGUACAUAUAGGUGUAAGUAUGUAAAAUUAUGAAACAUAAAGAAUAUAUAAAAAAUUGUAUAUUUUUUGAAAGUAUGAAGUGUAUGCAAGUAUGUGUAUAUAUAUAUAAUAAAGGUGUAUGAAAGUAUAUUUUAUACACGUGUAUUUAUAAAAUGUGUAUAAAUAUAUAUUGAUUUACCAAUACAUAUGGAUAUAUAAUUAUAGAAUAUAUAUAUAAAAUAUUUACAUAUAUACGUUUAUGCGUAUAUAAAAGUAAGCUAUUAUAAAAUAUGAGCAAGCAUAAUACAUAUAUAUAGAGAGAAUAAAAAUGAAGUUGAAAACAAUAUAAAACUACUUAAUAUAUUAAUAUAAUAGUAACAAAAUAAAUAAACAGAAAAUAAAGCUAAUAAUAAUUAAUAAUAGUAGUAAUAAUAAUAAUAGUAAUAAUAAUAAUAAUAACACUAAAAUAAUUAAUUAAACAAUAAAAUUGCUAAAAAGGGUUUAAAUUGAAAUAAAAACCUAAAUACUGGGCGAUUUUGAUAUAAAUAAAAACUAAAAGGAUUAAAUUGCAACACACGCCAAACAUAGAGGGACCAAAAUAGUAAAUAAGCCGAAGCCCCGAAACGCGGCGCAACAGUGGGCCAAAUUGGAACAAAAAUAAAAUUCUGGGGCUAAAUUAAAAAUAAAAGGAAAUAGCGAAAUAGGACCAAAUUAAAACACGCCGCAAAUCGGAGGGACUGCACACGCAAAUAUCCCCCUUAUCGAAAACGCGCGGAUCCUCCCCAAGGUCGGGUCACCGCGCGGGUCAGAGACCAAAAUGACACCGUUUUGGUCUCUGAACCCUAAAUUCAAAAACGGCACCGUUUUACAGGGUAUUUAAACCCAUUUUUACAUCAAAAAAACACUUCAGCCGUUUUUAAAAAAAUAUAAAAGGGGAGCCCCUUUUCUCCCUAAGAAGUCCGGCCAUGUGGGUUUCCUUGGCCCCUGUUGCACCGCCGCUCGGCUCGCCGCACCGCCACCACCCCGACGACUGGCGAAGCGCCAGAAAGACGUUCAAAGCCCCAUCCUCCGGUGAGUUUCCUUUUUCCUUUCUUUUUUUUGAUUAUAAAUAUAUUAUGUAUAUAUAAGUAGAUGAAUAAAAGAAAAUAAAUAAAUAAAAGGUUUAAAAUCUGUAAAAAUGAAAACAAAAGGGAUCAGAAAUCACCUUUGAAACUUAUCUUUUAUUACUUUGGUAAUAUUUGUAUUUUUUUGAUACCUCAAAUUCUAACCCAAGAAGAAGAAAAAAACGGGGUACAUAUUAGGCUUUUUAUAGCUGAUUUUUGGCUACUGUUUCUGUUGUCUUUUUGUGUUGUUUUCUUUUUUGCAGGUGACCGGCGGCGCAAGUAGGGUGAUUGGAGCAAGUGGUGGUAGGUGCGACGCAGCAGUGGCGGUGGCAGAGGAGGCCAAGGGUCGAAGAGGGCGACGCCUAGGGUUUCAGUCUCUGAAACCCUAGGCUAAUUUUUUUAGAGAAAAUGGACCUGGGCUAUUGGGCUCCGGGUUUGGGUUAGGGGCAUUUAGGUUUGGGCUGGGUCUGCUGGGUUUGGUUUAAUUGUAAUUGGGCUUGGUGUAUUUGGGUAGGUUAAUUUGAAUUAAGCUUGGGCAUUGGGCCGGGCAAAAUAUGGGCUUCACAGCUGCCCCUCUUUGCUCGUUGUCGUGUAACGAGAACAGAGAAAAGACUAAAAAAGACCAAUUUUGCCCGGUCUCACCGGAUUUCGACUUCUUUUGACGCUUCUCUUCUUCAAGUAGCCACAUUUCAAUCCACUGUGUCUUGUCGCUUCAAUCCGCUCUACUGCACUUCAGCAAGAUCUGACUUGUAGCUUCAAUCUUCUUCAUAGCAACUUCAGGAGACGAGAUUCAUGGUUUUGGUCUACUCCACUGCAACGUCAGGGAGAUAAGGCUGGAUGCGAUCUGCUCUACUGCAACUGCAGAGAGAUAAGUUCUGUGGUUUUAAAUCCGCUCCACUGCAACUUUAGGGAGAUAAGAUUGGCUUCUUCUGUCUGUUUAACUGCAAUGUCGGGGAAGUAAGAUUCGCCAUCAUAACUUCAAUCUGUUUGACUGCAAUGUCGGGGAAGCAAAAUUUGCUGUCGUAGCUUCAAUCUGUUCCACUGCAUCGCCUGGGAAGUAAGAUUCGCCGUUGUGGCUUCAAUUUUUUUAAUUGCAAUGUCGGGGAAGUAAGAUUCACCAUUGUAGCUUCAAUAUGUUCCGCUGCAUCGCUUGGGAAGUAAGAUUCACCGUUGUGGCUUCAAUCUUUUGAAUUACAAUGUCGGGGAAGUGAGAUUCGCCAUUGUAGCUUCAAUCUGUUCCGUGGCAUCGCUUGGGAAGUAAGAUUCGCCGUUGUGGCUUCAAUCUUUUGAAUUGCAAUGUCAGGGAAGUGAGAUUCGCCAUUGUAGCUUCAACUUAUUCCGCUGCAUCACUUGGGAAGUAAGAUUCACCGUUGUGGCUUCAAUCUUUUGAAUUGCAAUGUCGGGGAAGUGAGAUUUGCCAUUGUAACUUCAAUCAUUGUAGCUUCAAUCUGUUCCGCUGCAUUGCUUGGGAAGUAAGAUUCGCCGUUGUGGCUUCAAUCUUUUGAAUUGCAAUGUCGGGGAAGUGAGAUUUGCCAUUGUAGCUUCAAUCUGUUCCGCUGCAUCGCUUGGGAAGUAAGAUUCGCCGUUGUGGCUUCAAUCUUUUGAAUUGCAAUGUCGGGGAAGUGAGACUCGCCGUUGUAGCUUCAAUCUGUUCCGCUGCAUCGCUUGGAAAGUAAGAUUCGCCGUAUGAUCUGUUCUUUGGGGAACAUGACCUAUAUGAACCUAUUUAUGCCUAGUGAUCAUGAUCGAAAAUGAAUCAGAAUAUCCUGGCUAAAUGUGUAUGCAUGAAUGCAAAAUGAAAAUGAUCUUUCAAUGUUUGAGUUAUUAUUGUCCCUUGCUCAAUAAGGUCUUUUUGCCAACGCGUCCGAAUGCUAUCUUGUCCGGUUGGUAAUGCUCAUCUCUUACUUGGUCAGAUUGCCCCAACUAUAAUCUUCAAAGUUCAACUCACUGAAUGCAAAAUGUGAAUCAUCUUUCUCCCUCUGUGACCCAAUAAUAGAAAGACCUGGCCUUUUCUCGUUCCUCUGUUAUCAUAAUUCAAUGAUACAGAAUGUGAAAACUCUUUGGUCUCCUACACUAUUCCCAGGGUGUCAUACCAAAUGUUUAUACACAAUUGCAAAAUUUUCUCCAAAAAAACCUCUUUUCAUCACUUGGUGAUUAUUGAAGCUUUGUCACCAAUAUGACAUCUUGCCAUUUUGUUUAAUCCAUGUUUGGACAACAAAGUUUGAAAGGAUAGUCCUAUCUUAGACUUUUUCCUUUUAGGCACUUUAGAUUUGGUGUGUUCUAAACAACAGUCCUGUUUCAGGUUCCUUCAUUUUUUAGAAAUUUCUAGAGUAAUAUGCAAAACUCCUUUUGCUUGAACAUUCAGUCCAUUAAUCGUUAUUUCAAAUGUUUUGAACAAGAUUAUCACAAUGGACCAACAAAAAUGUUAUUGAGAACAAAUCUCAAAAUGAAUAAGUUAGUUAAGAUGACAAAUUUUGCUAAGAUAAAAAACAAUAGAUAAAAUGGAAUUUUAUUGGGGAGCAAAACUUGAAAUGAAUACAUUAAUCAAGACAACAAAUUUUGCCAAAAUUCAAAAUAUAUAAGAUGACGACAGGUGCCCUAGAUAUCGCAGCAUGAGCUUCUCUGCAUAAGCUUUAAUAUGUGUUUAGGGAAUCUACAAUAUUUUGUCGAUGCCCCAAGAUGUCGCCUAUCCUUUCUUACUGAUUCAAGUAUAGUGAGACCUCCACAUGCCCCAGAUCUUGAUCAAAAUUUGAGCUAUUUCGUUCACUUCAUACCUCAUCAAAAUUUGAGUCGCCUUUUUUAGGUUUUCAACUCAAAUCCCCUUUGGUCUCAAGGCGCCCUUUAUGGGUUUUCACCUUGGCCUCUCCUUUUUUUUAAGCGAAAUAUUUCUUGACUGAAUUUGAGUUUACAGGAUUUGGCAGGUUUUUACCAUCCAUCUCGCUCAAGAUCAAAGCUCCUCCAGAAAAGGUCUUUUUUACCACAUAAGGACCUUCCCAAUUUGGCAUCCAUUUUCCUCAAAAAUCUUUUUUUAGAGGAAGAAUUAUUUUCAAAACCAGGUCCCCCUCGUAAAAUUCUCUGGGAUGAACUUUUUUGUUAUAGGCUCGUAUAAUUCAUUUCUGAUACAUCUGACCGUGACGAAUAACUUUUAACCUCUUUUCUUCUACCAAGUUUAGCUAGUCAUAUCGAGAUUGAAUCCAUUCAGCCUCAUCUAACUUUAGUUCAGCUAAUACUCGGAGAAAAGGGAUUUCUACUUCUAUGGGUAAAAACGCCUCCAUUCCAUAGACUAAAGAAAACGGUGUUGCCCCAGUAGAGGUCCUAAUGGAGGUACGAUAUGCCAGGAGGGCGAAAGGUAAUUUCCCGUGCCAGUAUUUGUAGGUUUCAGUCAUUUUCCCUACAAUUUUCUUGAUAUUUUUGUUAGCUGCUUCUACGGCACCAUUCAUUUUUGGGUGAUACGGUGACGAAUUAUGAUGUCUGAUCUUGAACUGACUGCAAACUUCUGCUAUUAAGUUGUUGUUCAAGUUCAGCGCAUUAUCGGAUAUGAUCUUUUCAGGCAUCCCGUAUCGACAUAUGAUCUCUUUUUUUAGAAACUUGCUAACCGCUGACUUCGUGACAUUAGCAUAUGAAGCAGCCUCCACCCAUUUAGUGAAAUAAUCAAUAACCACAAAGAUAAAACGAUGCCCAUUAGAAGCCUUUAGAGAUAUUGGCCCGAUGACAUCCAUUCCCCACAUGGAGAAAGGCCAUGGAGAAACCAUAACAUGAAGGGGUGAAGGUGGUGCAUGCAUUUUGUCACCAUAAAUCUGACAUUUAUGGAACUUUUUGGCAUAAUUAAUGCAAUCCCCUUCCAUGGUUGACCAAUAGUACCCAAAUCUCAUAAUUUGUUUAGCCAUCGUGAAACCAUUGGCAUGCGUCCCACAGAUACCUUCAUGUACUUCUUCCAAAAUUUUCUUGGCCUCGACAGCAUCCACACAUCUCAACAAUACUUGAUCUUUUCCCUUUUUGUACAAGAUAUCCCCAUCUAGGACAUAAUCAAUGGCUAAUCUCCUUAACGUCCUCUUAUCAUUUUCCGUCGCAUGGUCGGGGUAUUCACGACUUUUUACAUAUCGCAAUAUGUCCUGAUACCAGGGGUGAUCAUCUUUUUCCUCUUCAUCAUCAAUAUUGUAACAAUGGGCUAGAGUCUCAUGAAUACUAAUCUGGAUAGGCUUCAUAUCUUCUGGUUUGUUCACUUUGAUCAUAGAGGCUAGAGUGACCAAAGCAUCUGCCAUCUGGUUUUCAUCUCGUGGGAGAUAAUAAAUGGUGACACUGACAAAUUCCUCAAUCAAUUCCAAGACCAAUUUUUGAUAACAGACUAACUUCGGGUCUUUCAUUUCCCAUUCCCCUUUUAGAUGGUAAAUUACUAAUGCGGAGUCCCCGUAUACCUCUAGCACCUUAAUUUUCCGCUCUAUGGCUGCCCGGAUGCCAAUAAUGCAAGCUUCAUACUUAGCCAUGUUAUUUGUGCAAUCAAAGUCCAAUUUGCUAGUGAAAGGGUAAUGAUCUCCAGUAGGGGACACAAGUAUUGCCCCAAUUCUGUUGCCUAUAGCAUGUGAUGCUUCGUCAAAAUUCAGCUUCCAAGGACCACCUUCUUGAAAAUCUUUUUCUGCAAUUGCAACAUACAUCAAAUCCUCAUUUGGGAAAUCGAAGUUUAGUGGCUCGUAAUCCUCCAGAUCUCUACUUGCCAGGAAGUCCGCUAUUGCACUCCCUUUUACCGCCUUUUGGUUCACAUAGACUAUGUCAAAUUCAGAUAGAAUAAUUUGCCAUCGGGUCAUUCUCCCAUUCAGAGCAGUUGACUCCAUCAGGUAUUUUAGAGGGUCCAACUUAGAGAUUAACCUGGUUGUAUGGUACAACAUGUAAUGUCUCCAAGUUGUCCAGAUCAGGGCACAACAUAGCUUCUCAAUUGGCGAAUAUCUCGUUUCGCAUUCAGUGAACUUCUUGCUGAGAUAGUAGAUUGAUCUUUCUUUUCGUCCUGACUCAUCAUGUUGACCAAGCACGCAUCCCAUAGAAUUUUCAAAUACUGCCAAAUACAGUAUGAGCGGCUUGUCUGGCAGGGUGGCAUCAGCACUGGGGCGUUGGACAAGUAAUGUUUGACUUUUUCAAAAGUUUUCUGACAUUCCUCAUCCCAUACUCCUGGAUUGUGUUUCUUAAGGAGACGAAAUAUAGGGUCGCAUUUCUCGGUUAGCUGUGAAACGAACCGAGCGAUAUAGUUUAGUCUUCCUAGAAAACCUCGAACCUCUUUUUGAGUACGUGGUGGAGGUAAUUCUUGUAUUGCCCUUACUUUGUCAGGAUCAAUCUCAAUUCCUCUCUCACUGACCACGAACCCCAGCAAUUUUCCUGAUCUGACUCCGAAUGUGCAUUUCGCUGGAUUUAGUUUUAGCUGAAAUUUUCUCAACCUUGUAAAUAAUUUCUUAAGGACCUGCACAUGUUCCUCUUCUGUUUUAGACUUUGCAAUCAUGUCAUCAACAUAGACUUCUAACUCUUUAUGCAUCAUAUCAUGGAACAGUGUUACCAUGGCCCUCUGAUACAUUGCCCCCGUAUUUUUCAACCCAAAUGGCAUCACUUUGUAACAAAAGGUCCCUCAUAGGGUUAUGAAUGUAGUUUUCUUCAUAUCCUCAGGAUGCAUCUUGAUUUAGUUAUAUCCAGAGAAACCAUCCAUGAAAGAAAACAGCGAAUGCCCUGCUGUGUUGUCUACCAAGGCGUCGAUGUGCGGCAAGGGGAAGUUAUCUUUUGGGCUAGCCUUAUUUAAAUCUCUAUAAUCUACACACAUCCACACCUUCCUAUCCUUCUUAGGGACAGGUACGAUAUUGGCUUCCCACUCGGAAUAUUUGACCACUUGCAGGAAUCCAGCAUCGAAUUGCUUUUGCACCUCCUCUUUUAUUUUUAAUAAAACAUCAGGCCUCAUUCUUCGGAGUUUUUGCUGAACAGGCUUGUAAUCUGCCUUUAUAGGAAGACGGUGAACUACGAUAUCAGUGCUUAACCCAGGCAUAUCUUGGUAUGACCAUGCGAAGACAUUUUUGAACUCUCGAAGCAACUCAAUGAGGUCUUGUUUUACUUCUUCAGUUAUGCACGUGCCAAUCUUCACCACCUUUCCCUCUUCUAGGGUCACCGUCUCUACCGUCUCCUCAUGAGGCAGGAUUUAUUUUUCUUCCUGCUCUACCAUCCUCAAUAGGUUCGGAGAUAGGUUGCAAUCUGUGUUAUCUUCAAAAUCUUGAGAUUGCUCUAAACACAUAUCUCGGUCAAAAGAAUUUUCUGAGUCCAUAGUAGAGUCACUCAUGUCAUUGAUAUCUUGGGACCUGUUAUGGGUACCGAAGAAUGUACAGGGAAUGUAUGAAUUUAAAAGUUCUUAUUUAGUAUGAUUAUGAAUUAAUGAAUGAAUGAUUUGGAAUAAAAGGCAUUCAAGAUGACUAUUCAUGCGAAAUAAUGAAAAGAGUUUCAAAAUAAUAUAUACUCAAAAAGAAAAUACGAUGAUAUAUUUCAUUGAAGUCACAAUGUUCAAACAUAAGCCCAUUUCAUUUCACAAAAGUUUUCAUUUUCUCUAGGCUUAAACAGUUAGUAUGUCUUGAAUAUUACUCUGGAAAAGCUCUAAAAACUUCAGGCAUUUCUUCUGCAGUCCAAUUGUUUAAAACACUCCCAGGUUCAAAGGGACAGAUGCCUGAUGUACUUCCUUCUUUAGAUUCUUCUUCAAAUAUGGCAUUGAUGUUCAGGUUUCCUAACAUCUCCUCUGUGGUAUUCUCUCUUGGAAUCCUUAGUCUAGAAUACAUGGUCCCUCCCGAUACGAAGGUCCUGGAUAAGUGGGGAAAAGCCAUAGGUUCCCAAUCAACUUUUUCUCCAUUCAAACGCGCCUUCCUCCUCUCUUGUCUUUUCUCCAACUCUUUUGUUCUUUGCUUGGCAUUUGGCUUAAACCCUAAACCAAAACGAUCUUGUUUGUCCUUCACCACUGGUGCGUCUAUCCUUUCUUGAAGACAUCUUUCCAGUCCUCUUCCAGGCACAGGUCCUUUCCCAACUGUCAUUCGUAGUCCCAUCCUCGUGGCCCUAAAUAUGCUGGGCAUCAGGAUCUUCUUUCCCUCAAUGACAAAGGUCGCAUUUACGAACUCUAGGGAUCAAAAGGAACAUUCGACCGCCUCAUCAUUCAUUCCCAAGUACGGUGCAUCACUUGUUACCGAUGCAAUGAUGUCUUUGUCAGCAUUAAUCGUAAUCAACCGGCCUUCUGUUACCAAUUUCAACUUCUGGUGCAAUGAUGAAGGCACCGCCCCCGCUGAAUAAAUCCAGGGUCUUCCCAACAAGUAAUUAUACGAAGGCUUGAUAUCCAUUAAUAAGAAGUCCACCUCGUAUGUAUUCGGGCCAAUCCAGAGAGGUAUUUCUAUUCUUCCUAUUAUGCUCAUUUCAGUACCAUCAAAUGCCCUCACUAUGUUCUGGCAUGAUUUCAUGUGGGAGCUGUCCACCGGCAAUCUGCUUAAGGUGGAUAGGGGCAAGACAUUCAGGGCUGAUCCAUUAUCAAUCAACACACCUGGUAACAUAUAUUCUCCGCAACGAGUGGUGAUAUGUAAGGCUUUGGUGGCUCCUCUCCCUCCCGGCGAUAUUUCAUCAUCAUUAAAGAAAAUGAAAUUGUUGGCACUUAUAUUGCUAACCAAUCGGUCCAACUUGUUCACUGAGAUAUCAUGUGCGACAUAAGUUUCAUUUAGCACCUUAAUCAACGCAUUACGAUGUAUUUCUGAACUUAGAAGUAAUUCGAGCACUGAGAUACGAGCCGGUUGCUUAUGUAAUUGUUCUACCACGCUGUACUCGCUGUGUUUCAAGAAUUUUAGAAAUUCUCUAGCCUCAUUUUCAGUUACCGGCUGAUUGACAUGGGAUUCAACUUUGUCUGUUUUUACUUUUUCCAGCUCAACUGCUAAGGCUUUUCCUUUUCUAGAUUCCACUUUUGCACUUGCCGGAUCAUAGCGCUUUCCACUUCGUGUAUAGAAUCCUUCAUUUUCUUCUGAAGCAUUUACCAAGCUCUCUUUUCCUGGAAUUGUCACAUUGCAGUUGUAAUUUCAAGGAACCUUUUUGCUAUCCUUGUAGGGAAAGGAUACAGGUUUUUGGAUUAUGACCUUUGGCGUUGUCUGUAUUCCGGAUUCUGUGUUCAUUGGCUUUGAAAUAAUAACCACUGGGUGGUUAACCUCUUGGGCUUUCUUCGCAGAUCCUUCCUCUGAAGCACAAACUUCUCCCUCUUCUAGUCCCUUGAUUUCUUCAUAAAACUCCAAUUCUUUGUUGUCCAUUAAGUUUUGCACCAUGGUUCUGAACUCGGUGCAUUUUUGGAUGUCAUGGCCUUCUUCUGCAUGGAACUCACAUAACUCCCUUGCUCAUUCAUGCCUUUCUACCGAAUCUUGCUUGAUGAGACCUUUUUUCACCAUUUGUUUCCAAACCCAUCCAAGAGGGGUCCUUAUCUCAGCUAUGUUUGCCUUGACUCUCCUUUCUUUCUCAAUUAUCGCGUUCACCCCUUUACUAUCAUGAGUGGGCAACGGAUUCUCUGCUACAUUUGGUCCAGAUGAUUCACCAAUCUUGACGAUCCCCAAAUUGAUAAGUUUUUCAACUAACUUCUUGAAUGCAGUGCAAUUCUCAAUCGAGCGCCCCUUAGUCCCUACGUGAUACUCGCAUUGAGCGUUUGCGUCAUACCACUUAGGGUACGGAGGUUGCAUAGGUUUCAGGUAAAAUGGGGAUACCACAUGUGCAUCGAAUAAGUUCUGGUACAAUUCUCUAUACAUCACUGGGAUGGGUGUGAAUUGGGGUCUCUCUAUAUUUGGCCUUGGAUUGGAUUCCUGUUUCGAAGAACCCUGCUGAUUAGCGGUUACUAUUCUGCCUUGCCCCAUCAUGAUUGAUUUAGAGUGGUCCUUGUUAAACAUGCUUGUAUUUUUUAUCUCGUACUCCUUCUUUCUUGGUGCUGACCUUUUAGUACUUUCUCCUACUUCUAUCUUGCCACUCAUUAUGGCGUUCUCUAUCAUUUCUCCAGACAUCACUAUGUCUGAAAAGCUCUUAGUGGCACUGCCCAACAUGUGAUUGAGAAAUGGGGCUUUCAAAGUGUUGAUAAAAAGCAUGGUUAUCUCUUUCUCUAAAAGUGGUGGUUUAACUUGCGCUGCUACCUCCCUCCAUCUCUGAGCAUACUGUCGGAAGCUCUCAUUAGGUUUCUUUUCCAUAUUUUGCAAUACAAUUCGAUCAGGUGCUAUAUCCAUCACAUGUCUGUACUGUUUUAUAAAGGCCUGCGCCAAAUCUUUCCACGAAUGGAUGUUGGCCUGACUCAAUUGAUUAUACCAUCUAGCCGCUGACCCGAUCAAACUAUCCUAGAAGCAGUGAAUCAGCAGUUGAUCUUGUUGAUAUACCUAGUCAUUCUUCGAUAAAACAUAGUGAUAUGAGCUUCGGGACAACUUGUUCCGUCAUAUUUCUCAAAUUCAGACAUUUUAAAUUUAGGAGGGAGGACUAAAUUAGGUACCAAGCUCAGAUCUUUAGCGUCCAUUCCUCGGUGGUAAUCAGCAUUUUCCAUGGCUUUAAACUUUUCCUCUAGCCAUUUACACUGGUCCUCUAAUUACUUUGACAGAUCCACUUUCACUUUCUCCACUUCUACCACGUCAUCGAGGUCAGGGACCACGAGAUUGGUAGGAUUCUCCCUGGGAUUAUUACCUAAUCUGAUUUGAAAAUUUAUUGGCAUUAAAGGAUUCGUCUGAAACUACUGAGGUUUGAUUGUAACAGAGGAUCUUUGUGGGUAGAACUCAGCUUGAGUAUGCGCGUGCGGAGGGGUAAAGCCUGGAGGGUAAAGGGGUUCAUCAUUGUUUCCCUCUUCAUUAUUAACUACAAGAUCCUUUCCCUUGUCAUUUCCUCCUUUCAAUAGCUAUGUUAACUUUGCCAUCAUGUCAUUUUGGGAUUCCCGCAUCUUUUCUGUCAUAUCUCGCUGAAUCUUUUCCAAUCGCUCUUGCAUUUGAUCUUGCAUAUCUCUUUGCAGCAGUUCAAGUUUUUCUAAUCUUUGAUCCAUGCUCUUUGAUUUCGCUCAAGUUCCGUAGGGGUGUUGAUUUUCCAGGUUAACUGAAAUAAUUUUAUUUAAUUAGGGUCCUUUAAUGGUCGUUGAUACAUAUGAUGUGAUGCAAUGCAUGAAAUGGAUGCAAAAAGAAAAGGCGUUGACUCUAAUUCAAUUUCAUUUAGAAAACUUUACUGAAAACAAACUUCUUUACAUAAGGUGGAUUACAGAUACGACUUAGCCCUAAUACUUAAAACUCUAAUCUUCCUAAGUAACGAAGCUAGCUCCUGUCCUCGACUUGACUCCAAUUCGUACUUCACGCUCAACACAUCAGCUUCUACUGCUAACAUCCGCAGAUGAUCACCUAUCUCCCGAAUUUGAACCACAGCUUCUCCCAUAAUGUGAUCUCUAUCUCUUACUUGGUUCUGGAAGUAGUGCAACUGCUCGGUUUGACGAUCUUUAUUAGUUUCCAAGUACUUAAUCUGGAUUUCGCAAUUUUGUAAUGCUGCUUCUAACUCUUCAAUUCUUUCUUUCAUUUCUUUAAUUUUAUUUAGGCUUGCCUUCAAUUCCAUCACAAAAUUCUGAUUUCAAUGCCGAUGGAGAGAUCCUUCUAAUUCAGUCACUCUAUUUUCUAGUUCCCUCUUUUCUUUCUGAUUCUCUGACAAACUCCUCUUUAGAGCCUCGUUCUGUGCUUGAACUUUUUGGAACCUCCUUUCCCAUCUAUCGGCUUUGUUUCUUUCUUCUUGAAUCUCCUUGCGCCACUACUCAGAAGUCUUUCCUAAUCCGGCAGUCCUCAUUGAUAACCGCAACUUCUUGUAAUCUAUUUUUAGACUAUCUAGAUCUUCUUCAACCCUAGCUUUUCCUUUUCUUAACCGCUCCACCUCAAGCUUCUGGAUAUCUGCAUCCAAUCUCAAGUUCAUUUUUUCUUCUUCCAUCUACUCUAGCUGCUUUUCCAACUCUGCAUUUCUUCUUUCAAAAUCCUGCUUUAAAAUUCCCAGUUCAGAAGGGACGACUCGUAAAUGUUCCUCUAACGACUGAUUGCCUUUGUGACUGGAUUUGUGGAUAUUGUCAUUGAUUCUUCUGACCCUCCAUUCAUCGUACUCAGGAGUCGUCACUGGUCCUACAGCCAAUCUCUUCAUUCGACGAGUCUGGUUCCACGCAUUGGAUAUCUCUCGAAUCCUCUUUUGGUAGCCAUCACCCCCGUACGCGAAUUCACACCCGGCUAGUCCCUGGGUUACGGGUAUAAACUGUCUUGACCUGUAUUGUCUGAGCACUAAUAACGGGGCAUAACCAAUAGCUCCCCAGAUUCCAAGCAAAUGGACCCAAUAAAAAUCACCACACUGAUACAAAAUUUCGUCUGGAAGUAACCACGGAGCUCUCCACUCAAUGUCCUCUUCUUGCAGGCUCUGAAGAAUUACCAUCCAUUUUUCCAUCGAAAUGUCAUCUCUUCUCAGUGUACCUACUAUCUCCUUUAGUGGCGAAUAGUUUUCAGAGAAGACCCGAUAUGACACAUUAUCCAUUUUCCAAAAAUGACUGUGGAACCACACAAGUAAUAAUUGUGCACAUCCAACGAAUCUGCCUUCACCCGCUCGUCGACAGGCAUUCAAUGAUCUGAAUUUUUCCACUAAAAUUGCUGGAACCGGAGUAACUCCCUUGUUGAGACGGUCGAAUAAAUCAGUGAUUGCCUCAUCAAUAUGCCCCAAAGCUCUGGGGAAGAUAACUAAGCCGUAUAUGCUCAAAGCGAAGACAUCUACCCUUUUUUUUACAUCUGGAUGCACUAGGACCACAUCUUUCAAAUUCCUCCAAGAAAUGCAUUUGUUAUCCCCUUUUUGUUUAAUUCGGGCUGUGACCCACUGCUCACUCAUACCUGUUAUGUUCAUUAACCUUCUAAAAAAGGGUGCAUUUGUAGCUUUCGAGUAGAUUCUGUCGACUUGACUCUUCGAACACCGAAGUAAAGCCAUAUAUUCUUCUAUCGUAGGCACUAAGUCGACUUUCCCAAACGUAAAACAACUGUAGGUGGGGUUCCAAAAUUGUGCUAGAGCCCAGAACAGGUGUUUGUCUAUCUUCAUAUCUAGCAAGUACGGUAAAUCCCCAUAAUCAGAAUAGAACAAUUGUCUGUCCUCCUCGUUCCACUGGUCUCAAAUUUCUUUCAACUCUUGCAAAUUGUUCUAGGUUACGCUGAUACGGGUGAAGUCCCAUAACUCAGAUUCAUAUCCUUCAACCAGACUAUCUCCUUUCUCCCGCUGCGUCGUUUCUGACCAAGUUUGCACCGCCGCAUUAUCUUCCACCUUAUCAAGAAAUCCCCUUUCCAUGAUAAGAUUUCUUUCUAGAAACCAAAUAUGAACCAACGCCUUUUAUAAUGAAAUGGCAUGCAGUUAAAAUGUCAUGCAUCCAAAGUAAAAUAGCAAACAUUAGUAUCAAGUAUAAGUAUACAAUCCAAAGUAAUUCAGAAAGAAUAAAAGCACCUAUCAGGGUAUGUACUAGGGUUCGGUGUAGUUCUACCUAGGGCGAGUCUCUAUAGUUCACUACAUGAGGUUUAGCUCUAAAGUAAGGGUACCUAAACCAGCAGAUUCCUCGAUCUUCACCUACUAUAGGCUCAUAUAGACCGAGUUCGGUUCAGGGGAAUACAUUUCCCUAUGGCUGCACAGAGAUGAAAAUCUCACGAAGACAUAGGUACAGAUGUAUCCCGGAAGCGAUCAACUGUCCUGCACGGAGGUGAAACCUCACGAAGGAGUAGUUUCUCACUCCCACUUAGAACGGUGUGACCAAAGGUCAUGCAAUGCAAUAUGCAGCAAGAUACCAAAAUUUAAAUCAACACAACAAUUACAACGAUGAAAAUUGUGAUAAAAACGAAUGAAAUGCAAUGAAAGGAUCGUAUAUUUAAAUCAAGUUUUCAAUUUUCAACAAAAAGACAAAAGAUAAUCAACUCGUGGCUCGACUCACUUAUUUUAUGUCCUCAGCGGAGUCGCGAAGCUGUUGACACCAUUUUUUAUUCAAAACGGGGUCGACUUGGGGUUUUGAAAAAUGAAACGGGAGUCGGCACCAAUCCUUUUUUAUGAGGUGUGAUUGGAUUACCUCGAAAAGUGGUUGUUUUUAAUAAACGGUUUGAUUUUAUUAAAACAACAAGUUUGGUCCACGAAAUUCAAAAAACGGGUUCGGGAGUCGGUUACGUACGAGGAAGGAUUAGCACCCUCGUAACGCCCAAAAAUUGGUACCUAGUUGAUUAACUAAUGUCUUGAUGUCGAAAAAUGAGAACUUUGAAGAAUUUUAAAAAUAGGAUCCUUGUAUUAAAAUAUUGAAAAUUUCCAGGAAAAUGGGCAUAUUUCACGUUAUUCAAGAAAGACAAUCAUAUCCAGUAAGUUAGGACACAAUGUCUCGAAUUCUCGAUACGUAAAUGAAUGCCAAAAUUUUACUUAUUUAAAAGACAUUUUAUUAUCUCGAGUUUAGAAAAGGGAUCAUGCCCAGUAAGUUAGGACACGAUCUUUUCUUAAUUCUCGAGAUCGUUUUAAAACUUGAGUUUAAAAAGAUUCGUGUAUUUAGAUUUAUUGUGAAAAUCGAAACCCAGUAAGUUAGGGUACGAUUCUCUCGAAUCUAAACACGAAAUAAUAUUUAUUCAAAAGAAAUUUUAUUAUAUCGAGUAAAAUAAAACACGAAAAUCGUAGUAAAAAAAUGUGAAAGCAAAUUACAUUGUUAUGAUGCAUAGCUGAACCAUAAUGGGUACGAAAAUAUGAAAAUUAUACAAACAAUAGCACAAUAUAAAAUAAAUAAAAGGUUAAAUCUACAACGUUCAAAAUAACGAUCAUGUAUAAACAAAUUAAAUUAAAGCAUGCAUCCGAAAUAAUAAUGAAGAUGAAGUAAAUAAAUAGUGAAUACAAUUCAAAAUGUAAAGAGGUAUGUAUACGUAUGUAAAUAUAAAUUAAAAUAUGUAUGCAUAUGUGAAUUAUAAAAUAUGUAGAAAAUACCUAUGUAGAAUAUAUUUUAAAAUAUAAAGAAUAUAAAAAAGUACAUAUAGGUGUAAGUAUGUAAAAUUAUGAAACAUAAAGAAUAUAUAAAAAAUUGUAUAUUUUUUGAAAGUAUGAAGUGUAUGCAAGUAUGUGUAUAUAUAUAAUAAAGGUGUAUGAAAGUAUAUUUUAUACACGUGUAUUUAUAAAAUGUGUAUAAAUAUAUAUUGAUUUACCAAUACAUAUGGAUAUAUAAUUAUAGAAUAUAUAUAAAAAAUAUUUACAUAUAUACGUUUAUGCGUAUAUAAAAGUAAGCUAUUAUAAAAUAUGAGCAAGCAUAAUACAUAUAUAUAGAGAGAAUAAAAAUGAAGUUGAAAACAAUAUAAAACUACUUAAUAUAUUAAUAUAAUAGUAACAAAAUAAAUAAACAGAAAAUAAAGCUAAUAAUAAUUAAUAAUAGUAGUAAUAAUAAUAAUAGUAAUAAUAAUAAUAACACUAAAAUAAUUAAUUAAACAAUAAAAUUGCUAAAAAGGGUUUAAAUCGAAAUAAAAACCUAAAUACUGGGCGAUUUCGAAAUAAAUAAAAACUAAAAGGAUUAAAUUGCAACACGCGCCAAACAUAGAGGGACCAAAACAGUAAAUAAGCCGAAGCCCCGAAACGGGGCGCAACAGUGGGCCAAAUUGGAACAAAAAUAAAAUUCUGGGGCUAAAUUAAAAAUAAAAGGAAAUAGCGAAAUAGGACCAAAUUAAAACACGCCGCAAAUCAAAGGGACUGCGCGCGCAAAUAUCCCCCUUAGCGAAAACGCGUGGAUCCUCCACCAGGGUCGGGUCACCUCGCGGGUCAGAGACCAAAACGACGCCGUUUUGGUCUCUGAACCCUAAAUUAAAAAACGGCGCCGUUUUACAGGGUAUUUGAACCCAUUUUUACAUCAAAAAAACACUUUAGCCGUUUUUUUAAAAAAAUAAAAGGGGAGCCCCUUUUCUCCCUAAGAAGUCUAGCCAUGUGGGGUUCCUUGGCCCCUGUUGCGGGUUCCUUGGCCCCUGUUGCGCCGCCGCUCGGCUCGCCGCACCGCCACCACUCCGACGGCUGGCGAAGCUCCAGAAAGGCGUUCAAAGCCCCAUCCUCCGGUGAGUUUCCUUUUUCCUUUCUUUUAUUUUUAUUAUAAAUAUAUUAUAUAUAUAUAAGCAGAUGAAUAAAAGAAAAUAAAUAAAAAAGGUUUAAAAUCUGUUAAAACGAAAACAAAAGGGAUCGGAAAUCACCUUUGAAACUUAUCUUUUAUUACUUUGGUAAUAUUUGUAUUUUUUUUGAUACCUCAAAUUCUAACCCAAGAAGAAGAAAAAAAGGUGUACAGAUUAGGCUUUUUAUAGCUGAUUUUUGGCUACUGUUUCUGUUGUCUUUUUGUGUUGUUUUCUUCUUUGCAGGUGACCGGCGGCGCAAGUAGGGGUGAGCAUUUGAUCAAAUCGAAUCGAAUAAAAAAUUUUCGAGUUAAUCGAGUUUUCGAAUCUCAUUUUAUCAUCCUAACUUUAUUUGAAGUUUUCUCAAAUCGAGUCGAGUGAGAUGAAAUUCGAAUCGAAUCGAAACGAAUAUAUCUGUUCGAGUUAAAUUUUAAAAAAUAAUUUUGGGUCCUUGUAACCAUUAUCACCCAUCGUAAUAAAAUUUGCCCACAUUAAUCAAAUUUUUUAUUAACUUUCAUCACUUCAUAAUUUAUUUAUUAUUUUUUUAUAUACUGGUUAGCUUCUUUGCUUGCUUAGUUGUUUCAAUUAUCUUCAUAUUUUUGUCACUAUGUAUUUUGGAAUUAAAAAAUAUAUUAAAUGUAACAUAUGAUUUUUUUAAGAAAAUUUAUUUUAAAAAUAAAAUGUGAAAUUGAUACCAAUAUAAAAUUUUAACAUGAAUAUUUUAUGGCAUAAUUAGUAAUUCAAUUUUAAUAUAAAUAUUCAAUAUGACUAAACAUUUCAAUAAUAUAAAUAAUAUAAAAUGUGAAAUUUAAUUUAAUAAUAUAAAUAGUAGAUAUAAAUAAAAUUAUUACUAUUUAUGUUUAGUGAAUUUUUUUGGAUAAUUUUGAUUUUUUAUUUUUGAGUAAAGGGUGAGAAGUAAAAGUUUAGGGGGAAAAUAAAAAAGUUUUGGGGAAUAAAAGUUUGAGGGAAAGUAAAUAUGGGGAGUAAAAUUUUGGAGGGAAAAUAUUAAAAAAAAAUUGGAGGGGGGAGGGUUUGGGGUAGAUGAGAGGUGGGAUGGGAAAGGAAUAAAAGUUUUAGGGGAAAAGUGGGAGGGAGUAAAAAUUUUGGGAGAAAAUAAAAGGUUUUGAUGGUUUUUGGGAGUAAAAUUUUGAGAAAAAGUAAAUGGGAGAGUAAAAUUUUGGUGGGAAAUAGAUUUUGGGUAGAUUGGGGGGUUGGGAGGGGAGGGGAGUAAAAGUUUUGGGGGGAAAGUAGGAAGGAGUAAAAGUUUUGAGGGAAAAGUAAAUAGGUUUGGGAGUUUAGGGUAAAAAUGUAAAUUAUUAUAGUUUGAUAUUCGAAUUAUUCGAAUUAUUCGAGUUAUUCGAAUUCAAAAACUCAACUCGAUUCGAACUCGAAAUUCGAAAAAAAAUUCGAGUUGAUUCGAAUAACUCGAUUAACUCGAAUAACUCGAUCCGUUUAACUCGAAAUUUGAAUUUUUUUCAAUUUUUUCGAGUGGAAUCGAAUUUUGCUCACCCCUAGGCGCAAGUGGGGUGAUUGGAGCAGGUGGUGGUAGGUGCGGCGCAGCAGUGGCGGUGGUAGAGGAGGCCAAGGGUCAAAGAGGGCGGCGCCUAGGGUUUCAGUCUAGGCUAAUUUUUUUAGAGAAAAUGGGCCUGGGCUGUUGGGCUCCAGGUUUGGGUUAGGGGCAUUUAGGUUUGGGCUGGGUUUGGUUUAAUUGUAAUUGGGCUUGGUGUAUUUGGGUAGGUUAAUUUGAAUUAAGCUUGGGUAUUGGGCCGGGCAAAAUAUGGGCUUCACACCAAUUAUUUUAUUAGACCCAUGUUCAUGACUGAUUUUAAUAUUUUUUGUUGACCCAUUUUUGUAGUGGUUGUCUACGUACCAUUGGAAGUGAUUACUUCAGGUACAUUACUCGUUUUAUUUGUCGGCAUGUUUGACCAAAAUAUUUUGAUAAUUUGCUUGCAUCUUUUUGAGUAUCUUGUGCAACCAAUCUUUUGUUUAUUAUUGGAAAGGAGAUUCAAUCAAGCAAAAUUAUUUUUCAAAGAUCCUUAUAUUGAUUACUUAUGUAACACCCAGGUUUGGCAGGUUCUAAGUUCUGACAAGAAGACUAAGAGCGGUGAGAAGUAGCCUAUCCGCUCGAUUAUCAUUUUGGCGCACAAAUUAGGCGCAUAGCAGAUAAUAGAACAUUAAGCAAGGGUUGUUCUCAGAAUGUAUUAAGUUGUAAAGAAGAAGAGAUUGGUGAGAGUUUUGAGAACCUUGUAAUAAGGGGGUUAUCGCCUAAAUUGACAAUUUUCCAUUUUAGGAGUGGGGCAUGCCAAGCCCACCUAGACUCAUAGUUGUUGAUUUUCAAAAUUGGCAUGGAUUAAAUUGUUCAAUUUUUUUAGGGGACCAACUUACUCAAUGUUAAAAUUGAGAAGGACCAAAAAGUUUUUUUUUAUCCUUUUAUUGUAGAAAGUUGUUUAUAUAUAUAUUUGUGAAAACUCAAAAGAAAGUGUAAAAACUUAUUAAACAGGAGUUAAAUAUUCAUCCCUUCAUUGCUGUUUUCCAGUCAUAUGCUGCAUGCAAACUUAUUAUAUUUAAAUUCCAAAUUCUUUAGUGCAAGUGUCUGGUCUUCAUUCUUUUCUCUUAUAAGAUGUUCAGAUUCAGACAAUUUUGUUUAGCCUUAGACAUGACAAAGUGUUCUAAUAGUACAUCCCGCACGUCACUUAAUUGGCUGAUGUCGAUAAGUAAGAAUGCCCUUAAUUUAGAUCCUUUGAUAGUUGGGUGAUUGGGAUGAUUUAUUUAUUCAUUUUGGAAGUUUUUAUUAGAAUUUGACUUGCUAAUUUUCAUAUUUAUAUUAUAUUUGUGCUUUUUUUUUACAUAAUUUUUUAUUAAUUAAUAAUGUGUUAUAGGAAACAUUUUUAUUGAAUUUAAUAUUACGAGCCAAUUCCAUAUUAAUUUAGUCAAAUAAAUUAUAUAAGAACUAUUUUUAAUAAAUAAUAAAUAUUAUUACAAUAUUAUUUUUGUUUUCUAUUAUAUUCGAGUUAAUAUUUAAUAUAAUAUUAGUGGAAAUUUCAAUUCUAUAAUUUAAAUGCUAUCACAUAUUCCAUUUUAAGAAAAAUAACAUUUUUUUUACUACACUCUAAAAGUGUAUGAGUCGAUUGAGUCUUAACUCGGUUGGUAUUGACAUUGUUGUCUAUGCAGGAGAACGUGGGUUCAAGUGCGUUGAAACACAUUUAUCCUCCCAUUGAAGGAGUGGAGAGACACUAUGGGUAGUUCUUUUAAUUUAACUCGAACAAUUUCAUUCGAUGCGACUAGAUUCAAAUUUUAUUUCACUCGACUCGAUUCGAAAAAAAUCAAAUUGACUUAAGAUCUUAAAAGAGAAUCGUAAACUCGAUUAACUCAAAAUUAUAUGAUACUUCAUUACUUAAUUGACGCAGCAAAUAUUGACAAAGCUGGGUUUGCGCCAAUUUUUUUCCCUUAAUUUCUAUUGUGUGAUUGGUACAUGGAUGAGAACGAACAUAGUUAGUGCCAACCCACGAUGCAAUUGCAAGCCUAAAAAAAGCUAAAGAUGGUGACAAUUCAAAAUGGUAAUAAAUUGAAAUAAUUCAUUUUAUUUUACCUUGCUCAAUUUUUAUUAAAUUUAGUUUUAAUUCAUGUGUUAUCUCUGAAUGAUAUCACAAUAUAUUUUUAAAAAAUUAAUAUUAAUAAUAUUUAAUAACAUAAAAUAAUUUAUAUGUAUUAAAAAUUUAUUAACCACUUCAUAUUAGAAUAAUUCUAUCAUUAUUUCAAAAGGUAAAAAUGUUAUUAUUACACCAAUUAAAAAAUAUCAUAUAUUCAAAUAAUUAAUUCAUCAUAAUUUUAAUAAAAAGUUUCACAUAUAAUAAUGAUAAAUGUAAAAUAAAUUAGUUUAUGUUUAUGAUAUACAUGACUCAUUUAUACCUAUUAAAAUAAAUAAUUUCAAAUAAUAAUGUAUAAAAUUUGCUUAAUAAAAAAAUAUAUUAAAUAAUAAAUAGCAAAACUAUAAUGUUAUUUAUGAACAAGAUGGAUCCGGGGUGGGGAGGCUUGCACCCCCAUUGGAUUUCUCAAAAGUUCUCAAAAUUUUAUUAUAUUCUUAAUUCCUCCCACUUCUUAUCAAUUCGCUCCUUUUAUCUCGGAUUUUAAUAAUUUUUUGUGGAUUAAAGUUUUUGAAGUGACUGCCUAUGUAACAUCUCUAGCCCGUUAGGGAACAUGACGUGCCAAAACCAACCAACAGUCCGCCCAACGAAUUGGAGUGUUAUCGACGGUUUCAACCUUUUUCAAAAUGACUUCCAACUCUUUGAAAUCAACUAUGAAAAAUCUCUUUAAAAGCAUUCUUAGAUUUUUGUAACCCCCUGUUUAAAGUAAACUAUAAGUCAUCCCCAUAGCUUUAAAUGGCAUACGCAUAUAAAAGAAAAUCUUUUAAGGCAUCAACAAUGAAAAUAGGUAAAUAUUUGCAAUUAAUAGAUAAAAAUAUUUUUCAACAGAAACCAUGCAUGAAACCAAUAACAAAAGAACUAAUAGCUCACAAAUAUCAGCAACUCUGAUGUAGUCUCCUUCUACAAAAUCUUCUGCUACUACCAACAAUCCUGAGGAGAUAAAAUAACUAAGUUGAAUUGAAUUUACUGAGUUCCACAAUAUACACAGAUACUGUAUUGAAAUACCUUUAAUUAACAAGCACUAGUACUCAUAACAAAACGGACUUUCCAUGAUAUUUGUCGUAACCAUUUUUUGUAAAACGGGAUCGACUUGGAUUUUAAAAAUAAAAACGAAUAUGGGAGACGCUACCAGUCCUUUUUGAUAAGCUGUGAUCGGGCCACCUUGAAAAGUGGUUAUUUUUAAUAAACAAUUUAAUUUUAUUAAAACAACGAUUUUGGUUUCUGUUUGUUGGGUCAGGGCUAAAUUGGGUUGUACAGCUGCCCCUCUUUGCUCGUUGUCGUGUAACGAGAACAGAGCAAAGACUAAGACAGACCAAUUUUGCCUGGUCUCACCGAUUAUUGACCUAUUCUGGUGCUUCUCUUCUUCAAGUAGCUUUAUUCCAGACCACAGUGUCUUGUUGCUUCGAUCCACUCCACCGCAACUUCAAAAAGAGAUACGACCUGUAGCUUCAAUCUUCAAGAGGACGAGAUUCAUGGUUUUAGUCUGCUCCACCGCAACAUCAAGGAGAUAAGACUUGUUGUGGUAGAUUUAAUUCGAUCCACUGCAACUUCAGAGGUAUAGGAUUCAUCGUUUUAAUCUACUCCACUGUAACUUUAGGGAGAUAGGAUUAGUAGCUUCAAUCUGCCCCACUGCAAUUUCAGGGAGAUAAGAUUGGUAUCUUUAACCUGCUCCACUGCAACUUCAGGGAGAUAAGGUUUGCUAUCUUCAGUCUACUCCACUACAACUUCAGUGAGAUAAGGUCUGCAAUUUCAACCUGCCCUACUGCAACUUGAGGGGGAUAAGGUUUGAUAUGAUCUGCUCUACUGCAACUUCAGUGAGAUAAGAUCUGCAAUGUAUAGCUUCAAUUUGUUCCACUACAACUUCAAGGAAAUAAGGUUCGAUAUAUUCGGUCUGCUCCACUACAACUUCAGGAAGAUAAGAUUUGUAUCUUCAACCUGCUCCACUACAACUUUAGGGAGAUAAGGUUUGCUAUCUUCAGUCUACUCCACUACAACUUUAGUGAGAUAAGAGUUGUAUCUUUAACCUGCUCUACUGUAACUUUCAGGAGAUAAGGUCCACAAUUUCAAUCUGCCCUACUGCAACUUGAGGGGGAUAAGGUUUGAUAUGAUUUGCUCUACUGCAACUUCAGUGAGAUAAGAUCUGCAAUGUAUAGCUUCAAUCCGUUCCACUACAACUUCAAGGAAAUAAGAUUCGAUAUCUUUGGUCUUCUCCACUCCAACUUCAGGGAGAUAAGAUUUGUAUCUUCAACCUGCUCCACUGCAACUUCAGGGAGAUAAGGUCUGCAAUUUCAACCUACCCCACUGCAACUUCAGGGGGAUAAGGUUUGUCACUUCAACCUGCUCUACUCCAACUUCAGAGAGAUAAGGUUUGUGGCUUUAAUUUUCUUCUCUGCAACUUCAAGGAGAUAAGAUUCGCUGCCUUCAGCUUUAAUCCGCUCUACUUCAACUUUAAUCUAUUCCACUACAACACUAGGGAAACAAUAUUCGCUACCUUUAGCUUUAAUCUGUUCCACUGGAACGCUAGAGAAAUAAGAUUCGCCGCCUUAAGCUUUAACGAUAGGGACAUAAGAUUCGCUACCUUCAGCUUUAAUCUGCUCUGUUGUAAUGCUAGGGAAACAAGAUUCGCUACCUUUAGCUUUAAUCUGUUUCACUAUAACGCCAAGAUGAUAGGAUUCGCUGCCUUCAGCUUUAAUCUGCUCCACUUCAACUUUAAUCUAUUCCACCGCAACGCUAGGGAAACAAGAUUCGCUACCUUUAGCUUUAAUCUGUUCCACUGUAACGUUAGGAAAAUAAGAUUAUUGGUUUUAGUCUACUCUACUGCAACUUUAGGGAUAUUAGAUUUGCUUUCUUCAAACUGUUCCACUGCGACUUCAAUGGUAUAGGAUCUGUGGUUUCACAGAUCUGUUCUCUGGGGAACAUGACCUAUGGAAUCCAUUGCAUGGGCCUAUUCAUGCCUAUUAAUUAGAAUAUUAUGAUUAGAACGAAUCAAAAUCUCCUAACUAAAUGUGCAUGCAUGAAUGCAAAAUGUCAUGAAAAUGAUCCCCCAAUGUUUGAGUUGUUAUUGUUCAUUGUUCAUUAAGGUCUCAUUACCAAUACGUUAGAACACUAUCUUGUUCGGCCGGUAACACUAUAAUCUUCAAGGUUCAAUCCACUGUACCUUUAGGACAUAAAAGUUUGAACCAUCUUCUUCCCACUAAGUAUAAGAUCUGGCUCUUUCUUAAUCCUCUCCCACUGCAAUUUAGGGAUACAGGAUCUGAAUAUCUUUGGCCUUACACCACUCUCGAGGUGUCAUACCAAAUAUUUAUGCACAAUUGUAAAAUUUUCUUAUCCGAGAAAACCUCUUCUUAUCACUCCAUUGAUCAUUGCUAGUUUAUUUAUUGAAGCCUUGUCACAAACACGACAUCUUGUCAUUUUGUUCAAUCAAUGUUUGGAUAACAAAAUCUGAAAGGAUAGUCUUAAUUUAGACUCUUCCUUCUUAGAUAUUUCAUCCUUUAAACUUGGUGUGUUCUAAACAAUAGUCCUGUUUCAGGUUCCUAUAUUAUUUAGAAACUUCUAGAGUAAUAUGCAAAACAUCCAUUGUGAAAGUAUUAUCAGAAAACAUCCAUUGUGAAAGUAUUAUCAGUCUAUUAAUCAUUAUUCCAAUGCAACGUGCUUGCAAAAGAUCAUAACGGUAGAUAGAAUAGGAUUAAUUUGGGAACAUGACUUGAAAUGGAUAAAUUAUCAAAGAGAGUAAGAAUAAAAAAGGAAUUGAUUGGGAACAUAUAUCUUGAAAAAGAAUAAAGUAUUCCAAGAACAUCAAAUUCAAUAUAAAUAGUAUGAAGACUAAGAUCCCCAGAUAUCGUAGCUUGAACUUCUCUGUAAAAACUUUCUGAAGACCAUUCUGAGUUUGACAUGUGUUUAGGAGAUCUACAGUACUUUGUCAAUGUCCCAAGAUAUCGCCUACCCUUUUCUGUUGAUUUAGGCAUAGCAAGAUCACCAUAUGCCCCAAUCUGAUCAAAAUUUUAGCUGUUCUGAUCACCUCAUGUCCCACUCUGAUCAAAAUUUGAGCCGCCCUUUUCAGGUUUUCAACUCAAAUCCCCUUUAGUCUCAAGGUGCCCUUUGCGGGUUUUCACCUUGGCCUCUCAUUUUUCUUUUCUUUUCUUCUUCUAUUUUGAAAUAUUUUUUGAUUGAAUCUAAACUCAUAGGAUAAGGCAUGUCCUUGUUAUCCUUUUUGAUCAAAAUCAAUGUUUCUCCAGAUAAGGCCUUCCAUAUAAGGUCCUUCCCAGUUUGGUAUCCACUUUCUUCUGAAGUCCUUUUGUAUGGGGAGGAUCUUCUUCGAUACCAGGUUCUCCUCGUGGAAUCUUCUAGAGUGAACUUUUUUUUGAGCUCGCAUCAUUUGCUUUUGGCACAUUUGGCAAUGAUGGAUAACUUUGAACAUUCCUCUUUAAUCAGGAUUAAAUUAAAAAACUUAGAGAGAAUGAAUCUUGUCUUCAAUUGGUAAACCUCGAUAAGCCCAAAAGAAAAGCAUUACCUCGGUAAAGGCUUUUCACUGCACUAUUCACAUUGGGACGACAUGGUGUUAAUCUUGAACAGGCUGCAAACCUUUUGAUAAUAUGAUGUUCAAAUUUAGCGCGUUGUUGAAUAUGAUCCUUUUUGGCAUUUUAUACCUACGUAUGAAUUUUUCAAGAAUUUGCUGGCUGUCGACUUUGUGACAUUGGCACAUGAAGUGGCUUCUACCCAUGAAGAUAAAUCGAUAACCGUCAAAAUCUUUUGGCGAGAUCGACCUAAUGACCUUCAUGCCCCACAUAGGGAGAAGUCAUGGAUUCCAUUGAUUCUUUGUAGGGUAGGAUCUAUUUUCCAUCUUAUUCUACCAUCCGUAAUAAGUCUAGAGAUAGGCUAUAAUCUAUGUCAUCUUUAAAGUCAUGAGAUCCCUCAAACACAUGUCUCACUCAAAAGGAGAUUCUGAGUCUGUAGCAGCGUAACUCAUGUCAUUGAUAUCUAGGGACCUAUUAUAGGUACAAAGGAAUGUAUAAAGAAUAUAUGAACUUAUGAGUAAUUAUUUGUUCAAUAUGAUUAUUAAUGGAUGAAAGAAUGAUUUGGAAGAAAGUCUAAAAGAAUGAAGGAAUAAAAAAUAAUUAUUAAUAAAAAAAUGAAUAAAUAUUGGCUCAAAAAUUAUCACAAAGAUAUAUUUCAUUAAAAUAAUAACGUUCAAACAUGAGCCAAUUUCACAAAAGAGUUCUUACUGCCUCUAGGCUAAAAGCAACAAGUGUGAUCUGAAUAUUACUCUCAGUAAGCUCUAAAUACUAUAGGGGUCUCUUCUGUAGUCUAAUUAUUUAGAACGCUUCCAGGUUUAUAAGGGCGAAUAUCUAAUAAGGUCUCUUCUUUAGUUGUGUCUUCAUAUAUGGCAUUUUUGUGAACGUUUCCCUACACUUUUUCAUACUUUGCAUUCACCACAUUAUCAAUAUGAUUGAGUAACAGAUUUUCUGCACUAGAUGAAUCAUCAAAUUUGACAAUGCCCAUAUUGAUGAGCCUUUCGACCAGUUUCUUGAAAGUGGUGCAGUUUUCUAUAGAAUGUCCUACAAUACCUGCAUGAUAGUCGUAGUAUGCAUUCGCGUCAUAUCAUUUGGGGUAUGGAGGUUACAGGGGUUUUAAGUAGAAAGGGGAAAUAAUGUGUGCACCAAACAAACUUUGAUACAACUCCCGGUACGACAUUAGAAUUGGCGUAAACUAGAGCUUCUUAGUUUUUGUCUUAUGUCGAAUUCUUGUCUUGAUGGACCUUGUUGAUUAGUAGCCACCUUUCCUAGUUGGUUCACCGUGAUCGAUUUCGAGUAACCCUUGUUAUAGGUGUUCAUGUUGUUCACCUCAUUCUCUUUUUUCUUCGGAGCUGACCUUCGGUUACUUUCUUCAGCCUCGAUCAUCCCACUUUUUAUGGCAUUUUCAAUCAUUUAUCCAUUCAUAACUAUGUCAGAGAAACUUUUCAUGGUACUUUCCAACAUAUGUGUGAUAAAUGGUGCCUUCAGUGUGUUAAUAAAGAGUAUUGUCAUCUCUCUUUCCAGGAGCGGGGCUGGACUUGAACGACAACCUCUCUCCACCUUUGUGCGUAUUGCCUAAAACUUUCAUUAGGCUUCUUCUACAUAUUUUCCAGGGUGACUCUAUCAGGGACCAUAUCUGUUACAUGACUUUAUUAUUUCAUAAAUACUUGUGCUAAGUCUCUCCACGAACUAAUCUUGGUACGGGUUAAUUGAUUGUACCACUUAGAUGCUGCCCCUGUGAGGCUAUCUUGAAAGCAAUGUAUAAACAGUUGGUCAUUGUUAACGUAUUCAGUCAUACGCCUACAAAACAUGGUAAUAUGAGCUUCAGGGCAACUGGUCCCAUUGUAUUUCUCAAAUUCUGGCAUUUUGAAGUUAUGGGGAAGUACCAAAUCUAAGACUAAACUCUCGAGCCAUUUACAUCUUUCCUCCAGCUGUUUUGGCUAUUCUUCCUUGGUUUUCUCAUUCUCAGCCACUUCGUCAAAAUCGGGGACAAUGGAUUGGUAUGGUUCUCUUUGGAGUUAAAACCUAAUCUGGUUUGGAAGUUUAUUGGCAUUGAGGUGCCACCUUGAAACCGUUGAGGCCUGAUUGUGACAGAGGACCUAGGUGGGUGUACCUCAACUUGGGGUUGAACAUGUAGAGGAUUAAAGCCUGGACUGUAGAGGGGUCCAUCAUUAUCUCUUUCUUCAAUAUUAACCAUGGGGUCCUUUCCUUUGUCAUUUCCCCCAGCCAACAGGUGUGUUAACUGAGUCAUCAUGUUCUUCUGGGACUCCAUCAUAUUUUCUGCCAUAUCUUGUUGAAUUUUUUCUAACCGGUCUUGCAUUUGGUCUUGCAUCUCCUUUUGGAGCUGUUUGAGCCUUUCCAAUCUUUGAUCCAUGUUUUUCGAUUUUACUCGAGUAUCGUAAAGGUGUUAUUUUUCCAGAUUAACUAAAAUAAUUUUAUUUAAUUAGGAUCUUUUGGUGGAUUUUAAUGCAUAUGAUGUAAUGUAAAUGCAUGAAAUGAAUGCAAAAGAGACGUUGAUUCUUGGUUCAAUUCUAUUAGAACAACUUUACUAGAAAACAAAUCUCUUUAUAUAAAGCGGAUAUAUAUAUAGCUUUGCCCUCAUAUUCCAAGCGAAUACAACGAUCCUUUUCUUCAUCUGGAUGUUAAAAUGAAUCUCACGAAUUUUUCAAUGGAUGCCUCUACUAGCUCCUUUUUGCUUGAUCCGAUCCGCAACUCAUUAUUUGUUUAUCCUCGUGAUGCUCGUUAGCUUCUUUAAAAAGGUAGGGGCAUUGACGACUCUCGAACAAUCUUUGUCAACUUGAAUCCUCUGGUAAUGAAACAAAGUUACGUAGUCUUCCAUUAGACCAUCAUCUUUCUCUGGUCACAUUUUCUUGGACCAUAUUCGGACAAUCGCAUUGUCUUCCACUUUAUCAAGAAAUAUGUUUUCUUAUGACAAGCUCUCUAUUUAGAUACUGAACGUGAAUCAACACCUCUUUUUUAUGAUGAAAAUGCAAUGCAAUUAUAACCAAAACAAAAGAAAAUUGAUUAGUACAAAACACAAGCAAGCAAGAAAGAAAUAAAUAGAGCACCUAUUCGAGUGACCACUAGGGGUUUGGCAUAGUUCUACCUAGGCUAGGCUCUUCGGGCUCACUAUAUGCUGUUCGGUUCUAAAGUAAAGGUACCCGAACCGGCAGAUUCCUCGAUCUUCACCCAUUAUAGGCUCAUAUGGAUCGAGUUCAGUUGAGGGAAAUACAUUUCCCUAUGGCCGUGCGAAGAUGAAAAUCUCACGAAGACAUAGGUACGGAUGUAUCCGGGAAGUGAUUCACUAUCCCAUGCAGAGGUGAAAACCUCACAAAGGCAUAGCUUCUCACUCCCACUUAAAAGGGUGUUACCAACGGUCAUGCAAUGCAAUGUGCAGAAAGAUACCAAAACUUAAACUAACGCAACAAUUAUAAACCACAAUGAUGAAUAUCAUAAUAAAGACGGAUGAAACAUAACGAAAUGAUCGUAUCUUUAAAUCAAGUUUUCAAUUUGUGACAAAAAGACAAAAAAUAAUCAACUCGUGGCUUGACUCUCUUAUUUUGAGUCCCCAACAAAGUCGCCAAGUUGUCGUAACAAUUUUUUGUAAAACAAGAUCGACUUGGAUUUUAAAAAUGAAACAAAUGUGGGAGUCGCUACCAAUCCUUUUUGAUAAGGUGUGAUCGGGACACCUUGAAAAGUGGUUGUUUUUAAUAAAUAAUUUAAUUUUAUUAAAACAAUGAUUUUGGUUUCUUUUUGUUGGGUCCAGGCUAAAUUGAGCUUGUACAAUAUUUGUUGCAGUGUGUAAAAAUAAUUACAAAUUAUGUACAAAUAUACACAAUUGUAACAAGUAAUAAAGUACUAAGUAUACGAGUACUGUCUCCUUAGGGACUGAACAGGUAGUCAAGAUUUGAGAAAAUAAUUUAAAUAACAAUUUAGGAAGAAAACAACUACAAAUGGGGUUUAUGCGAUUAAUUAAACUAAAUGAUUCUAUCUUGCAAAAUUUCAACAGAAUAAUGAGUACUUCAAGAAAUGAGUUACUAAUAUCAAAUAAUGCUAGAAUACUUAAUCCACUUCUGCCUCUGAUCAAUUUAGUCUGGAUGAAAUUGUUAUGAAAAUCAUGGCAUAAUUAGCGUGUAACAUCCAUAACCCAUUUUUGUCGCCAGAAUAGGGUUACAGAGUAUUACUAUACAAUUCGAAACAUUCCAUAACAAUAGCAUCUAAGUCAUCAAAUUACUUAUUAACAAUAUUCAUAAAUAACAUGAAAUCAAGCAAGACACACAUUCACAGAACUUAAAUCGAGCCUACAAGGCCCUAAAAAUAUCUUAGGAACAAUCAGAGACUAAUUUAAAACAAAACAGGAGAUUUGGGACAAAAAUGAAAAAAAUUCAAAAAAGGGUCACACGGCCGUGUGUCUAGGCCUAGAGCGUGUGGCUCUAGACAUGGCCGUGUGGCCAUCCCACAUGCUCGUGUGCAAGAGCCAUGUAACUCUUUGACUUGGGUCACACAGUCAUGUCACAGCCAGUGUAAACUUUGCACCUAACACGCUAAGGGCACACCCCCGUGUGUGACACACGACUAUGUGAUAACUUGUGUCCCAGGUCAUGUGUACCCAAAAGUGACUAAAAUCAUGCUAAUUUUUCAUCCAAAUUCUUUAGUGAAAAUGUCUGGGUCUUCAUUCUUUUCUCUUAUAAGAAGUUCAAAUUCAGACAAUUUUGUUUAGCCUUAGACACGAGAAAGUGUUCUAAUAGUACAUCUCGCAUGUCACUUAAUUGGCUGAUGUUGAUAAGUAAGAAUGCCCUAAUUCCCCCUAAUUUAUAUCCCUUGAUAGUUGGGUGAUUGCGAUGAUUUAUUUAUUCAUUUUGGAAGUUUUUAUUAGAAUUUGACUUGCUAAUUUGCAAUUUAUAUUAUAUUUGUGCAUUUUUUACAUAAUUUUUUAUUAAUUAAUAAUGUGUUAUUUAUACUAUAAUAAUGUUUAAAACACACUUAUUGCUCUAAGCCUGGGAGCAAUAAGAAUCCUUUUGUGAAAAAGGCAUAUGUCCAAUAUAUUUAUUUCAAUAAAAUGCAUCUUUGUGUUUUAUUUUAGAAAAUAUUCUUUUUUUUUCCAUUUCAUUCAUACUCAUACCACACAAAUAAUUAUUCUUAGAUUCAUUUGUUCUUUGGGUCUUCCUUUAUUCCUAUAACAGGUAUCCAGAUAUUAAUGAUAUGAGUGACGCUGCUGCUGACUCAAAGUCUCCUUUUAAGCAGGAUAUGUGUCCAGAGGAACCUCAGGACUUUGAAGAUGAUCAAGAUUGUAACCUUUCUCCUGAUUUGUUAAGGAUGAAAGAACAAGAUGAGAAAUAAAUCCUACUUUACAAAGAGUCAGUAGAAAUUGUGAGUUUGAGAGACAAAUAAGAAAAUAAAUAGGUAAAGAUCAGAGCUUGCAUCACUGUAGAGACGAAACGAGACCUCAUUGAGUUACUCCAAUAAUUCAAAGAUUUCUUCGCAUGGUUGUAUCAAGACAUGCCUGGUCUAAGUACUGAUAUCAUGGUACAUCGGCUUCCCAUAAGGGAAGACUGCAAGCCGGUUCAACAGAAACUCCGAAGGAUGAGGCCCGAUGUCUUGUUGAAAAUAAAAGAAGAGGUUAAGAAAUAAUUCGAUGCUGGUUUCCUACAAGUGGUUAAAUACUCGGAGUGGGUAGCCAAUAUAGUCCCCGUCCCUAAGAAAGAUGGGAAAGUAUGAAUGUGUGUAGACUACAUGGAUUUAAACAAAGCUAGCCCGAAGGACAAUUUCUCGUUGCCUCUCAUUAAAACAUUAAAAGACAAUACAGUAGGUUAUUCACUGUUCUCCUUCAUGGAUGGCUUCUCUGGAUACAACUAGAUAAAGAUGCAUCCUGAAGACAUGAAAAAGACCAUAUUCGUAACCAUAUGAGGAACAUUUUGCUACAAAGUAAUACCAUUCAGAUUGAAAAAUGCAGGAGCGACAUAUCAAAGAGCCAUGAUAACUUUGUUUCAUGAUAUGAUGCACAAAGAAAUCGAGGUUUAUGUUGAUGAUAUGAUUGCAAAAUCCCUAAUAGAAAAAGAGCAUGUACAAUUCUUAAGGAAACUAUUUUUAAGGUUGAUAAAAUUCCAGCUAAAGCUCAAUCCAGCAAAAUGCACCUUCGGGGUUAGGUUGGGAAAAUUACGAGAAUUUAUAGCCAGCUAAGAGGGGAUCGAGAUCGACCUGGAUAAAGUCAGGCCUAUACAGGAGUUACCUCUACUGUGCACUUAAAAAGAGGUUCGGGGUUUCUUAGGGAGAUUAAAUUACAUCGCCUGGUUCAUUUCACCACUGACCAAGAAAUGCGACCCCAUAUUCCAUCUCCUUAGGAAACAUAAUUCAGGUGUAUAGGAUGAAGAAUGCCAGAAGAAUGUUGACAAUGUAAAACAUUACUUGUCCAAUGCCCCAAUGUUAAUGCCGCCUAGUCCAAAUAAGCCACUGAUACUGUACUUGGUAGUAUUAGGGAAUUCUAUGUGAUGCGUGCUCGACCAACACGAUGAAUCAGGAAGGAAAGAAAUAGCAAUAUACUACUUCAGUAAGAAAUUCACUGAAUGUGAGACAAGAUAUUCACCAAUUGAGAAGUUGUGUUGGGCUUUAAUCUGGACAACCGAGAGACUAAGACAAUACAUGUUGUACCAUUCAACUUGGCAAAUCUCAAAAAUAGACCCUCUAAAGUACAUGAUAGAGUUGACUGCUUUGAAUGGAAGAAUGACCCAAUGGAAAAUUGUACUUUCCAAAUUUUAUAUAAUCUAUGUGAACCAGAAGGCAAUAAAAGGGAGUGUAAUAGAAGAUUUUCUAGCCAGUAGAACUCUAAAAGUUUACGAGCCUUCGAAUUUCAAUUUCCCGAAUGAGGAUCUGAUGUAUGUUGCAACCACUAAAGAAUAUGCUCAAGAAGGACAUCCUUGAAAACUAAAUUUUGACAGAGCCUCGAACAUUAUGGGUAACGAAAUUGGGGUUGUCCUAGUAUCCCCAAUCGGAGACCAGUAUCAUUUUACUAGUAAAUUGGAUUUUGAUUGUACAAGUAAUAUAACAGAAUACGAAACAUGCAUUAUAGGUAUCUGUACAGCCAUAGAACGCAAGAUCAAGGUACUGGAGGUAUAUAGGGGUUCUGCACUAGUGAUAUAUGAACUCAAAAGAGAAUGCGAGACGAGGGACCCCAAGUUGACCAAUUAUCAAAGGCUGACUCUUGAAUUAAUUAAGGAGUUUGAUGACAUCACCUUCUGCUACCUUCCGCAAGAUGAAAACCAAAUGACUGAUGCCCUAACUACUUUAGCUUCCAAAGUCAAAGUGAAUAGACAAGAUGAUGUAAAACCUAUUCAGAUGAGUAUUUAUGAGGCUUCGACCCAUUGUUACAACAUCGAAGAAGAAGAAAAGGAUGAUCACCCUUGGUACCAUGAUAUACUGCGAUAUGUAAAGAAUCAUGAAUACCCUAAUUAGGAAAUCGAGAAUAAUAACAGGAUGCUAAGGAAACUGACUAAUGGCUAUGUCUUAGAUGGGGAGAUCCUAUAUAAAAGAAGAAAGGAUCAGGUGCUACUGAGAUGUGUGGAUGCCAUUGAGGCCAAUAAAAUGAUGGAAGAAGUCCAUGAGGGCGUUUGCAGAACACAAGCUAAUGGUUUCACAAUGGCCAGGCAAAUCAUGAGAUUCAGAUAUUAUUGGUCCACCAUGGCCUUUCUCUAUGUGGGGCAUGGAUGCCAUUAGACCGAUCUCGCCAAUAGCUUCCAAUGGGUAUCGAUUCAUCUUUAUGGUUAUCGAUUACUUCACAAAGUGGGUAGAAUCUGCUUCUUAUGCCAAUGUCACGAAGUCAGCAGUCAAUAAUUUCUUAAAGAAAGAGAUCAUAUGUCGGUAUGGAAUGCCAGAAAGGAUCAUAUCUAAGAAUGCAUUGAAUUUGAACAACAAUACGAUAUCAAAAGUCUACAGUUAGUUUAAAAUCAAACACCACAACUCGUCACCAUAUCACCCAAAAAUGAACGGUGUAGUUGAGGGAGUUAAUAAAAACAUUAAGAAGAUCGUGGGGAAACUAACAGAGACUUAUAAAGACUAGCAUGAGAAGUUACCAUUUUCCUUUUAUGCUUAUUCAACGUCUGUCAGAACCUUCACUGGGGCAAUACCUUUCUCAUUUGUUUAUGGAAUGGAGGCAGUUUUGCCCAUUGAAGUCGAGAUUCAUUCUCUCUGAGUUUUAUCAGAGUUGAAGUUAGAUGAAGCAUAAUGGACCUAAUCUCGAUAUGAUCAGUUGAACUUGAUUUAAGAGAAGAUGUUGAAAGCUAUCCGUCAUGGUCAGAUGUACCAAAAAUGAAUAAUGCGAGCUUAUGAAAAAAAUGUUCGCCUCAGAGAAUUCCAUGAGGGUGACCUGGUAUUGAAAAGGAUCCUACUAAUACAAAAAGACUUCAGAGAAAAGUGGAUGUCGAAUUGGGAAAAACCUUAUGUGGUAAAGAAAGCUUUUUCUAAAGGAGCACUGAUUUUGACAGAGAUGGAUGGCAAAAACUUGCCUAAUCCUAUAAAUUCAGAUUCAGUCAAGAAAUACUUCACCUAAAAAAAUAGGGAGAGGCCAAGGUGAAAACUCGCAAAAGGGUGCCUUGAGACCAAAGGGGUUUUGUGUUGAAAACCUAGGAAAGGGCAGCUUAAAUUUAGAUCGAAGAUUGAACAUGUGGUAGUCAUGUCUACUCAGAACGAGAAACAUUACAUCUUGGGGCUUCAAUAAAGUACUUUAGAUCUCCUGAACACAUAUCAAGCUCAAAAUGGUCCUCAAGAAGUUUAUGUAGAGAAGCUCAUGCUGCGAUAUUUGGGGCACCUAAUUUCAUCUUACUCACUCUGUAUUUUACCAAUGUUUGCUAUUUUGAUUAAUCUAUUUAUUUUAAGCUUUGCUCCCAAUAAAUUUCAAUCUUGUCAAUUGUUACAAGCUUUUUCGAGCAUUUUUACAUUGAAAUAAUGAUUAAUGGACCAACAACAUUCAAGUAAAAGGAUUUUUGCAUAUUGCUUUGAAAGGUUUCUAAAUAGUAUAAGGACCUGAAACAGGACCACUAGUUAGAACUAACCAAAUCUAAGUGUUGGAAAUAUUUGGGAACGAAUAGUUUAAAUUGUGAUUAUUUCUUCAAGUUUCCUGUCAAAGAUACCAGAUUUGAACAAGAAGGUGUGGCAAUACAUCAUUGAUGGAACCUUGACGAACAAUGAGUAAUGUCAACCUAAGCAUUAAAAAGUGAAUCAUUCUCGAAAAAUGACAUUCUGCAUGCACGUAAAUAUCAUUCAUAUACAUCUAGUUAGGAGAAUUUGAUUCAUCCUGAUCAUAACAACCUAAUAGGUUGGCAUAAAUAUAGGCCUAUGAAAUGGAAUCUACAAGUCAUGUUCCCUAGAGAAAUGUAUAACAGAUCAGUGAAACCACAAAUCCUGCACUCUUGAAGUUACAGUGGAGUAGAUUGAAGCUACCAAUCUUAUCUUCCUAAAGUUGCAGUGGAGUAGAUUAAAGCCACAAAUUUUAUCUCCCUGAAGUUGCUGUGGAGUAGACUGAAGUCACAAAUCUUAUCUCCCUAAAGUUACACUAGAGCAUAUUAAAACCACAAAUCUUAUCUUCCUAAAGUUGCAGUGGAGUAGAUUAAAGCUAAAAAUCUUAUCUCCCUGAAGUUUCAGUGGAGCAGAUUGAAGAUAGCGAAUCUUAUCUCCCUAAAGUUGCAGUGGAAUAGAUUGAAGCUACAAAUCUUAUCUCCUUAAAGUUGCAGUGGAGCAGAUUGAAGAGACAAAUCAUAUGCCUCUAAAGUUGCAGUGGGUCGAAUUAAGGGCCAAUUCUUCAUUGCUUUUGAAAAGUGCUUUUGAAAAGUGUUGUGGAAAAGUACUUUUGAGAAGUGCUUUUGAAAAAUUUGAGUGUUUGGUAUUGCUGUCAAAAAGUGCUUUUGAGAAAUAAAAUGUCCAUUUCAGACAUGAUAUUAUAAAGUAACAAAUAUGUAUUUAAAUAAUGUUCAAAUUAGUUAAUAUUAUGAUAUUUUAGCAAAAUAAUAAAAAAUAAUUUAUCAUAACUUAUUGUUUCUAUUUUAAUAUAUAAUAUUAAUUUUAAAUAUUUGUAAGUAAUUAAUAGUAAUUAUUUAUUAAAUUUAAUUAGAUUAUAUAAACUAUAUUUAAAUAUUUAAAUAUAAUAAUUAAAUAUUUGUAAUUAGAUAUUGACACAAUUGUAUUAUGUUAAAAAUUAUUUUUUAUUUUUAAUUAAUGCUUUUAACACAUUUGUAUUAUUUUAUUUUAAAUUAACAUAACAUAGAAAAUAUAAACCUAACAAAUUAAAAUAUUACAUAUAUUUAGAUUAAAGUUUUAAAAAGGGAUAAUACUUAUAUACCAAAUAUAAAUACUAAAAAAUUUGGGAGAAGACAAAGGUUAAAAAUGUAAAUAGAAGCCAAAAGUACUUUCGGCAAAUGGAGAAGUUAAAAAUGAUGUCUGUUCUUUAUAGGUUUUCAGGGAAAACUACUUUUACAUGCAGAAGCUCAUCUGAAAAGCAAUAAAGAACACAACCUAAAUCUACCAUAGCGAGUCUCAUCUCCCUAAAGUUGCAGUGGAGCAAAUUGAAGCUACGAAUCUCAUCUCCUAGAAGUUGCAGUGGGUUAGAAUGAGGCUACAUAAAAAAGAGGAGCACCAAAGAAGUCAAAAUUCGAUAGCACCAGACAAAAUGGGCCCUUCUUAAAGUCUUUAAUCCAUCCCCGUUACAUGACAAUGAGCAAAGAGAGGCAGCUGUAAAGGUCCAAUCUCGUCCAGAUCAAAACCAAAAAUAAAUAAACAAAAUAUAAAAACCAAAAAAUAAAAAAGUCCAUUUGCAAAAUAAUGGCCCAAAUACAAAACCCUAACCCAAACCCAGUGUUACACAAGCCCAAGCCCAACUAACCUAAAGUUUUUUGAAAACCCUAAAACCUUAGGUCUCCCUCUCAUGCCGCUCCUUGCCACGUCAGUUGGUGCCCCUCCCAAAGACACCCACGCCCCGAGGUCUGCUCCUCUGCGACCCUUGCACCAAAACGGCAAAGGCAUAGAUCUCUCUCUGCAGUUGACCGCACACCACCGCCUGCAAUGAGAAAGAAAUAAGGAUAGAAACAUGAAGCAAAAAUAGUAAAAAAGACAGAAGCAAAAAAUAGAAAACACAGAAGCAAACACGAAGAUUUGCAAUCACUCAGCUAUAAAAAGCCGGAUAAACAUAUUGUAAAAUAGACGAAAAAUACAAAGAACAAAAAAACAUUUAAAAUGAAGUUGAUCUUCUUGUUUUAUUUUUUUAUAUUUUGAAAAAGAAUAAUAAAUAAAAAAUAAAACGUGUUUACCUGAGUCGCUUUACAUUCCUUUGUUGUUAGAGGUCUUCUUCGAGGUGGAAAGCUCUAGAACCCUUUAGGGUUUGGCCUGGGCUUCGACGGCAUGGGGUGUGAAAGGCGCGUCGGCUAGGUGAAAGGGCUGAAAAUUUUCUUCUUCUUCUUCUUCUUUUUUUUUUCUUUUUCUUUGCAAAUGGUAGGCUUUGCCUUCAGCUCUAGCUGAAAGGGCACUGAUAAAGCCCGUUUUUGUGUAACUCUAGUGGCCACGGAGGGCUUCCGCUGACUCUAUAGCCAUAUCCUAGGCCGUGAUUUCAGAGAGAAAAAGGGAGAAAUGAGAGGAUUUUUUUUAAAACAUGGAGGAAGUGAUUUUUUUCUAAAAUUUUUGGCUUUUAUAGGCCUCCAAAACGGUGCCGUUUUGGGAUUGGCCUCAGACGUCCAAAACGGUGUUAUUUUAGCGAGACCCGAAUCACUCCCCAAGAUCCGGGUUUUUUUAGAAAUGGGAUAUUUUUAGUUUUAGUCCUUCUGCUUUUUAAAUACUUUUUAAUUUCGUUCUACUAUUUAUUAUUAUUUUUAUUUUGCCCUUUUGUUUUGUUUUUUGUGCAAUUUAGUCCCUCGACCACUGUGGACCCAUUUAGGCUAUACCACGUGUCCCAGGGCUUGGAAUAAUUACCCAUUUCAACCCUGCUACUUUUUAUGCGUCACAUUUUGGUCCUUUAUUCAUUUAUUUUAUUACAAUUUAGUCUUUUAAUUUCGUUUUAAUUCUGAUUUAAUCCUUGGUUUAUUUAAUUUCAACCUUUUAUGAAUUAUUUUAUUUAUUACUUCUUUACCUUUCUUUAAUACUCAAAAUUCAUGUUAUUUAUAUUUCCAUUUUAUUGUGCAUUAUUCGUCUUUAUUAUUAUUAUUUUAUUAUUCAGGUUAAUAUUAUGAUAGUAACUAUAAUAUAAUUAUCACUAUUAUUGCUAUAAAUUGUUGUUUUUUUACUAUCAUUAUAGUUGUAUUAUCAUCACUCACUAGUAUACCAUUUUUAUUUUUAUUUUAUUGAUUUAUUUAUUUGUUCAUUGAUUUACUUGCUUAUCAUUUUAAUAUCAUCUUUGCCUUUUUUACUCGUUACUAUAUUACUUUAUUUUGCUAACAUUCAUGUUGAGUAUCGCGUUAAAAUAUAUUCGUUCAUUUUAUUACUGGCCUAGAUAAAUAAAAAAGCAUAUCGUUAAAAGGUUGCACUCAUUUUACCAUAUGAAUAGGAAAUAUUCUUUUUUUUAAAAAAGACAAGGUUUAUUUUUUUGGAAUUAGAGGAGUCGUGCUCCGAACUUACGGAGUAUGACCUCUUUCUAAAACCGAAAUAGUUGAAUAUCUAUUUUAAAAAUAUAAAGAAAACGAGAUUUAAGUAAUGUCCAAAUGACGAUUAUUCUCGUUUUAAAGGGUUUAAGGCAUCAUAUCCUAACUUACGGGGCACGAUCUUUUCUUCUUGAUUAACUUGAAAUAAGCUCUUUUUGUGAAAAUCAAUUUAGUUAAGCGAUAUUUUAAUAUCAUGCAAAGAGGGAUCGUAUUUUAAGUUUGGUUCAAAUUUUUAGUUUUAGACAUCAAAACAUUAAGUAACCGGCUAGGUACCAAGGUACCAAUUUUGGGCGUUAUGAUGGUGCUUAACCUUCCUCAUAUGUAACCGACUCCCGAACCCACAUCCUUGGAUUUCGUAGGCUAAACAUUAUCAUUUUAGAAAAAUCUAAUCUUUUACCAAGAUGGUUAAAAUUUGAGGUCACCCAAUUACACCUAAUAAAAAGGAUCGGUGGCGACUCCAUUUUUAUUUUAAAAUAAAAAGUCGAUAAUCUAUUUAAACAAAUAUAAUAAAUAUUUUGCAAGUGUGCAAAUAUAAUAAAUAUUAUGAUAUUAGAUAUUAAGUUCAAGAUUCCAUUUAAAGUAUUAAUAAUAGGUAAAUUAUAAAAAUAGUCAUUUUUAUUUACCUCAGAUUACAUUUUAGUCACUUAUUUCAAUAAAAAAAAUUUUCAUGAUUUUUAUAGCUUUUCAACCGUUAAAAAGUUGAACCAUGUAAUUUCUUCUCUGAAACUUUUUGUGCACACUUUUCGGGACGUCUCGCAAGUUUUUGCGAUGCGUUGGAAAACCUCACAAAAAUUUGUUUAUUUAAAUCAAUAUUAAAAUAUAUGUUUAAAAUUAUGAACCCAUGAAAUUAUAAAUCUCAAAUUGGUAUCCUAAACAACCCAAGUCCUAAAUUAUGAACCUUAUAAUAAACGCUCUAAAAUUAUACUAUGGUUUAUAUUUUAUAUGGUAUGAAAUUAAAUGAUCAUAUAUUUUAAUAUGAUCAAAUGAAAACAGUGCAUUGGUUUACUAAUUAAACUAUUAAAUUCAAACAAUUAAUAGUUUGUUACUAAUUAAAAUGAAUUUAGAAGGAAUUUUUUAUAUUGAUGGUUUUUGAUGAUGUGUUUUGGAAGUCUCCUAACUUGGCUUUAUGUAGAGGAGAGGAAAUGAAUGAAGAGAUUUAGACCGAUUUAUGAAGAAUUUUGUUAAAAUGUUAAUAGGUAUAAGUGAACAGACACAAUGAAUGAAAAGCUGCAAUAUUAAACCAAAAGCAAUGAAUCUAUUCACCAAGAGAUAUAAUUGUUCAAAAGAUACAACUGUUCAUCAAGAGUCAGAACUAUUGUUUAAUUUGAGCAUCAAUUUAUCAUUCUAUCACUCAACAAUUUUGAACACAUUAUAUAGAAUAUAAACCCAUAAUUUAUUAUUCAAACCUUCAAUUUUAUCAAUAAAAUAACAUACCUCAAAGUUCCAAAAUAUCAAUUAUUUUUAAUCAACACAAUCUUUAUCGUUUGGGUUUUUGUAAAUUAUACAUGAUUCAUCUUUUACUCUCUUAAAACUAUUUUCUUAUAGGAAAAUAAGAGAGCUAUCUUUUUAAUAAAUUUAUACUCCACCCUCUUAAAUUAAUAAUGGUGAUCACCUACAUGUUAUGAGCACACUGUUAGCCCAAAACAUUUCGAUGUUAGGGUAUCUAUUUAGUUAAUUUAGUUUAAUGAGCUUUCUAAUCGCUUUUGGGUUUUCGGUCUUUUGACUUUGGAAGAUUCAUGUUCAUGCAACUAAGGAAUUCCUCAAGUCUGUUGAGAAGAAUGUGACUUGUCACAGGCUUGCUUAGCAAGUUGACUCAUCCUAGGUUGAUGUAAAUCGUGAUUCUGUGGUAACUUUAUAGGAUCAUUCGAUCUUUCCCCGAUGGUAAACUGAACUUGCUGAUCUCAUGUUGUACUUAUCAUUGUGAAGGGAUGACUCUUAUAGAUCACUAAGGAAGCCAUGAUUAUGUAAUCCAAUUCAACUGAGCUUAAUUGAAUAGUUUUAUAGCUUCCUUCCAUCUUAUCAUUGUGAGAACAAAGUACUAAUAGAGGACUUUUACUAGAAUGCAGAUGAAGUAAGGAAGGGAUUAGGAAGUGGCUGUCAAUGUGUAAUCUGUUUGGAAAUUAGUAUAUCUUAUAUUACUUUGUGUAGGCUAGAAGUAGAUAAAGGACUAAGAAGUAGCUCUCAUUGAUUUAUUGGUGUGGGAACUUUUUUAUUAGAUACGUGGUACUAUUUCAAUGACAAAACCAUGAAAUUGAUAAAGCAUUUAUUAUGGAAAUAAAGUUAAGUAAAACGUGGAAAAAAGAUUAAAUUACAAGUUUUGAAAAGUUUAGGGAUUAAAAUGAAAAUAUGACCAAAAUGAAAAAAGUAAGUUAUUGGUGAUGAAUUGACAUAUAUAAGAAUAGGUGGGGAUAUGUAUUGGUAAGAUGAAUUUUUUUAAGACUAAAUUGAAAAGAUGGGAAGAUAUAAAGACUAAAUUAUAAAUUUCCAAUUUUAUUGAAAAAAAGGUGAAAUAUGUAAUUUUGUGUUGGUGUGUGUUUUGUAGGUGAUUGUGUUGUUGUUGUCUUUAGGAGGGAUGUUCAAAUGGUUAACCGAACCAAAUUAGUAUUAAUUUAAUUAACCAAUUUUUUUUUACCUUUAACUGUUAACUAAAUCAAAAAAUUUUCAAAAAAUAUUAACCGAACCGAAAUUUAUAUGUUUAUUUUUUUAUUAAAACAAGUAUAAAAAAUAUAAAAAAUAAAUAAAUUGUUAAUGUUCAUUGACCGAAUUAAAACUACAUAUAAUUUGUAUUAUUGAUUAUUAAUUAAGUUAAUUACCCAAUUUCAAACUGAUAACCGGACUUUCAAAAAAUUAUUAACCAACCUCGGACCGAAUUAAAUCAAUUAAUCAACUAAUUAAUUGAAUUAGAUCGAUUCGAUAAGUUAACUCAAUUUUAACUGAAAUUUGAAUACCCUAAUAUUUAGGCAUGAUGUAUUGCUUCUUCUUUUUUUUUUAAUCUCUAACUUGGUUUUUCAUCCUUUAUGAGAUUUCAUAAAAUCUAAUAUAUAUUAAUCUUUGUAAACUUCGUCCUCCCGAAGUAAUGAAAUGGCAUUUUAGUAAAAAGAAAUUCCAAGUAGUUAUUACUAUAUACAUUACUAUCAAACUUUUGCUACAUUGCCACUUUAAUUUGUUUUUGGAAGAGGUUUUUUUUUUUUUUUAAUCAUCAUUUAUUCAUUAUAAUGGGUAGAAGAACGCCAAGAGUACAAGAGUGAUAGUUCCAAACAGACCACAGACAUCAACACCAAACGAAAGGGAAAAAAGAACAAAUACAACACAUAUCUUAGACCAUUUAACACUGCUAAUUGAUUAUCGUAACUUGCCUAUCAGUAUGCUCGAAAAUUAGUCAAGCAGUACAACCACAUAUAUAUAGGUAGAGAAAUGUCCAUUAUAUGAACUUACAUAACGGGAUACGAAGCUUUCAUGGCGAUACCACAUAAGCCACCUGGUGUAUUCGCGUCCCUUUGAAUCCUAAUAUAUCCUUUUUCACCCCAAGUUUCUCCCCAUGAAUUCUUAACCAGCCAGUAGUUUAAACCUUCUUCACUUGUUCCGUAUCCGACAACGGUGACUGCAUGGGAGAGAGCAUUGCCACAAUCUCCGGUAAACACUCCCCCGCUGUAAAACCGAAAGUCUUGUCCAUGGCCUUCGAUUGCAACUGAGACAGGUUGACUUGCGACGACCUUAAGCAACGCUUCUUCGUCGUUUUCAGGCACCAUUUGAUAUUCAUUGAUGGUGGCAACUUUGUUUAUCUGUUUCUCAGUGUCGCAAGUUUCUUGUGUUUCUUGAUAUGGGUAGCUCUCUUCAGUAGUUAUUCCUUGGUUUCGGAUAACGUAUUCGAAAGCAUUUACCAUUCGUCCACCAUCGCAACCUCUGUUUCCUCCAUCUGUGCUGCAAUCCAACAAUUGUUGUUCAGAUAAUGAGAUUAAACUACCAGUUUUGAUUUGGACUAUCCCUUCAAUGGCUGCCACUGCUGAAAAUGCCCAACAACAUCCUGCAAAGUAAACCAACAAUAACCCUUUGUUAAGUAUAAAACAAUUGCUUCUUGGCUGAGCAAUAUUUAUAAAAUAUUUUAUAGGAGUUGGGUUAGCAUACUA
RNAcentral lists this long non-coding RNA (69578 nucleotides) under Gossypium barbadense (sea-island cotton). RNAcentral's name for it is "long non-coding RNA (GBAR_LNC016623)". The stretch from base 681 to 818 matches the Rfam family "MIR7502 microRNA precursor family". The record is from RNAcentral. Lineage: Eukaryota; Viridiplantae; Streptophyta; Magnoliopsida; Malvales; Malvaceae.